Molecule: long non-coding RNA, 60309 nt
Filed under: Ananas comosus (pineapple)
Lineage: Eukaryota; Viridiplantae; Streptophyta; Magnoliopsida; Poales; Bromeliaceae
Description: long non-coding RNA (ACOM_LNC031316)
Source: RNAcentral
UUAUAUGGUUAUUGUGGGAAAUUUUGUGACUGUAGUUUGAGAUUACUUGUAUUUGGGUUUUUUCUUUGAUAGUGAUUUAGUCGAUUCUGGAUUAUGGUUUUGGAUUUAUUAGUAGUUGUAUAAUCAAACUACCUUAUUCUCAUUGCUUGUGGUUAUGUAUCUAUGCUCCUACACCGUGCAUGUAUAGGGGAGACUCUAUACGCAUGGACAGAGGAUACCCUGUGCGUGUGGCGGGUCUGUGCAUAUCUCGAGUAAGGUUUACAAAAAAAAAAUUUAUAUUUUUUUCCACAACUAUGUUUUCAAAUUGGAUGAUUUUCUCAAAAUUAGCUUUCCAAAAAGGGCCCGGGGCGUGACACUUUUAUUAACCAAAAACUCUGUUUUCACAAUCGAUAUAAAGCAUAUUUGUAAUAAAUCAAAUCCUAAUUCUAAUCCUAAUCAAAUUCCAUAAUUUUAGAAAUUUUUCUAAAAUAAAUAACUCUAAUUCUAAUUUAAAACAUCCAAAUCCAUAUCCCUAAUUUUUAGAAAUUUGCUCUACAUGAAAAAUCCUAAAGAAAAACUCUAAAAUAAAUUAACAAUAAUAAUAAUUUCAAACGUUACAAAAGAAUUCUAUAUAUUUUUUUUUGGUCGCAUCAGAAGGUUUGUCAUUGAUCAAGAGACUGUAUGUGUUGAAUAUAAUUUAGCGGUUGUUUAAUAUGAUAUCCGAAUAGAAAAAUCUGAGUCCACUAGGAUCCAAAUUUGAGUCCAAUAGCAUCCAAGGAAAAUCUGAGUCCACUAGGAUCCAAGUUUGAGUCUAGUAGCAUCCAAGUUAGCUUCGUUUAAUUUUCACCCAUUGAAUUCUGAGUUAGAUAGGUUCCAAGAUAGUUUUGCGUAAUUUCAUCCUUUGAAAUUAUCAAAAAGUUUCAAGCCAAGAAAUGAGAAAUAAUAUUGAGUAAAAAUUUUGAAUAUAAGUAAUUAAUCAUGCAUGGAGAGAGAGAAUCCAGUUGAUGGUUAUGUGUGAGUAAUUAAUCAUCGAAGAAAAAUCCGAGUCCACUAUAUUUGGUUCAGUUUAUAAAGUUUAGUAAUCUUGGCAAUACAGUAUAGUCUAUUCCAAAAUUAUUUUUAUCCAUAUUUGGCAAACUUUUUUUUUACUAUUUACAAAUAAUAUUUUGUUAUUGAAUUUUAUUUUAAAUAAUUUACUUUUUAAAUUUUUAAAUUUUAAAUUCAAAAAAAAAUAUAAAAUUUCAUAUUUUAAUUUAAAAUAUAAAUAUGAAAUUCAUAAAUGUAAAAUCUAAAAUAUAAAUAUAAAAUUUAAAUUUAAAAAAUCUAAAUUUAAAUUUUAAAAAUUAAAAUUUAAAAAAAUUAAAUUUUAAAAAUUAAAAUACAAAUUUGAAUUUUAAAAUUUAAAAUUUAAAAUUUAAAUUUUAAAGUAAAUUUUUAAAUAUAGAUUUAAAUUUAAAUUUAAAAUUUAAAAUUUGAAAUUUAAAAAUUAAAAUUUAUAAUUUAAAAUUUGAAAUUUGAAGAUUAAAAAUUUUAAAUUUUAAAUUUGAAAUUUAAAAUUUGAAGAUUAAAAAUUUUAAAUUUUAAAUUUAAAAAUUAAAAAUUAAAAUUUAAAAUUCAAAAUUUAAAAGUUGACAAUUCAAACUUUUAAAUUAAAAUUUUUAAAUAAUGUAUUGAAAGGGUUUCAGUAGUUGGAGGGGUAAACUUGUAAUUUUAUAACAUGCAAGAUUAGCCGCCUUUAGCAAUUCAAAAUACACACCCCCCCAUCAGUAAUAUUUUUGGUGUAAUCCUACACCAUUUGUAAUGCUAUAUUACUGACUAAAAUUUAAAAUUUAAAAUUUGAAAGUUGAAGAUUAAAAAUUUUAAAUUUUAAAUUUGAAAAUUCAAAAUUAAAAUGAAAAAUGAAAAAUUUAAAGUUGACAAUUCAAACUUUUAAAUUAAAAUUUUUAAAUAAUGUAUUGAAAGGUUUUCGAUAGUUAGAGGGGUGAACUUGUAAUUUUAUAACAUGCAAGAUUAGCCGCCUUUAGUAAUUCAAAAUACACACCUCCCCCAUCAGUAAUAUUUUUGGUGUAAUCCUGCACCAUUUGUAAUACUAUAUUACUGACCAGACUACAUACCGGAUGAACCAAACGCAAUAAUCCUGGCAGGAUUGCAUGUAAUCCUUCCAGGAUAACCCAAAAUACACACCUCCUCCAUCAGUAAUAUUUUUGGUGUAAUCCUGCACCAUUUGUAAUACUAUAUUACUGACCAGACUACAUACCGGAUGAACCAAACACAAUAAUCAUGGCAGGAUUGCAUGUAAUCCUCCCAGGAUAACCCAAACCAAAUGCACCUACCUUUCCCAUCAGUAAUAUUUUUGGUGUAAUUCUGCACCAUUUGUAAUACUACAUUACUGACUAGAUUACAUAACGGAUGAAUCAAACGCAGUAAUCCUGAUAGGAGCAAUAGUCAUACUUGGCCAACUUCCAAUCACAUAUUUUCUUACCAAAUUAAUAAAUUAUUGUUAGAUAUUUUAUUUUGAUAAACAAAUAAAGUCUUAGUUAAGACAACAGAAGCCGAAAUGAAGAUAACACAUGACGAACAACCGAAAAUAAUUAAACAUUCCAUAUUACUCAGUUCAUGCAAUUAAUUUGUGCUCGAUCAACGGUUCAAAUAGCAACUCAAUUAAAUUACAAAUAAUAACUUGGUUGUCCACACAUUAUUUCCUAUAAAAUUAUUACAAAGUAUCUAACAAUCUGAGAUUUUGAUGAUACUAAACACUGAUUAAUUAAAUUAAUUCGGAGAAUAACAAUAAUCAUAUUAAUUACCAUACUUCGUUAUAUAUACUUCAUACUUUUUUUACAAUGACUUCAUCUAUUUACAUAAAAUAAUUAAACGGCUCCCUCAUUAAUGGUGGUUUUAAUGGUGCGAGGAACCCGUGCAAUUCCACUUGGUUCCAAUGCCCAUACACGUACCAUACCACGUGUGGGUAUGUUGAAAACACCAAUUAAUUCCACCUCAUCAAAGACCACAAUAAUAAUAUACCUUGUCUAUGUACAAUUACUAUACGAAGCCAAAACUACUCCCAUUAAUCUAGCCUCAUUUAAUCUCUUAAUUUCUUCUUCUUCGUAAUCCUUAGUUGCCUAGGUCUGAAUAAUCGGAUAAUAUUUUUCAUGCAUGGAUCAGACUAAGUAUGGUAGCGAUGGACGCACGGCUCACUGAAUUUUAGUCUCCGUAGUUCCGCUGCCAACCUUCUGAGAAAAAAUAUUCAGUCAGACAUGUCGCACAAAGAUGCACUGCUCAGUAUUAGUAAUAUCGGGCAGUAAUUAAUAACAUAGAUGUGUCUGAUAGAAUAUUCUUCGCCUCCUUCGGAAGCCCUCAAUUGACGAUGUCCAAGAUCCAGUCAAGAUGCGGGAAGCCGGCGUAAUCCUCCUCCUCACCGUCCCCACCGUCAGCACUCGCGAAGCCGUUAAUGCCGUCACCUUUUGCAGCAGAAGAAGCAGGAGGAGGAGGGGGAGAAGAAGAAGAGAUAGAAGAAGAAGAAGAAGAAGAAGAAGAAGAAGAACCAGCGGUACCGGCGCUGGCGCAAUAGGCGGCGGCUUCGGAGCUCUCCAUCUCUUCCGAAUAUGAGUUACCGAGACAUGCGCCGGUGCAGGCACCGGCGGCGGCGGCUUCGGAGCUGCUGUCUCCCCCUUCGGUCGAGCUGCCGAGACACACGCUGCCGCCGCAGCGCAGGCAGUACUGGACUGCCGCCGGGCGGAGCUGCUCCGGCGCGUGCGCGAAGAAGCAGAUCUUUCGGCUGCAGGCCGGCCCGGCGUCGCACAUCUUGGUGCGGAACCGCGCCGGGUGGAGCCAGAACUCGAAGACGCCGUGCGCGAACUCGCACGCCUGCCCGCGGCAGCAGUCCCCCCGCUGGCGGUACUCCGGGCAGACGGCCGCGCUGUAGGGGAACUUGCGGGGGUCGCGCCGCCGCGCCUUCUCGCCGCGGUGCGCGUAGGGGCACGCCGUCCAGUCGUGGCUCUUCUUCUUCGAGCAGCUCUUCACCUUGUACGUGUACAUCAAGAACUCGUCCGACUGCUCUUUCUUCGGCCGCUCGCGCAUGUCGUCCGCCGCACUCGCGCUGCCGGCUGCGGUGGGAAGAAAGGCGAGCUGAUAGUAUGAAGGGAGGGUAAUUGUGGGACGCUGGUAAUCGGCAAAAUCGUCGCUAUAUCCAUCAAACAUGGCCAUUUUUUUUUUUUUCCUUCUUCUUCUGGGUUGGGGGAAGGGGUUGCGGAGGAGCGAGGGAUUCAGAAGAAGAUGAUAUAAAAACAAUUAAACCAUCACGAGAAAUGAGAGCAGCUUCUUCUUCUUCUUCUUCUUCUUCUACUGCUUCUCCUUCUUCUUCACAUAAUUAAAAAAUUAAAGAUUUGGAGCAGUGCUUGCUAGGGAGGGUUGUUUAUUGUGCAUUUUUAGUAGCUUCAUUUUGUCCUGCUUAUGUCAUGCGUAUGCAAAGCUUAAAAAGUUUUUUGUACUCUUUCUUAGGCGCUCAUUUACCCGAGUGGAAGAUAAGUUUACCCCGACUUUAUCAUUUUAUAGAGUUGGGAUAAAGUAAUUUUUAUUUUGUUUUACUUUUUUUAUUUUCCAUAUUUUUAAAUAAAGCUUGUUUACAAGCUCGUAAUUUUAUACUUAAAUUCUCAAAGGAAUUCAAGAUCUAAACUAGAAAAGUGUCUUUACCAUCUGUGUUAGCUUAAAUGGGUCAGCAUCCUGCCCUGUGGCGGGAGGCCAUGUGGGCCGAGUCAUGUUCGAAAUGGCGUGAGGCUGAGUUGGGUCGAGUCAUGUUCGAAGUGGCGUGAGGCCAGAUGGGCCGAGUCACAAUCGAGAUCCAUGGGCGCUGUUUCUAUACGCUUUAAGUGAAUUGGUUGCGUAUUUCUAACAGCUCGAGCUUUUGGGAUUAAUGGUUAGCUAGCGCCAACGAUCCGACAAGUGGUAUCAGAGCCAGAGGUCACGGGUUCGAUUCCUGCAUGCUGCAAAUGUGUCGAGGUGCUGGAGGGGGGAUUGUUGGCUUAAAUGGGCCGGCCAGGUGGGCCGAGUCACAAUCGAGACCUGUGGGCGCUGUUUCUGUACGCUUUAAGUGAAUUGGUUGCGUAUUUCUAACAGCUCGAGCUUUUGGGAUUAAUGGUUAGCGCCAACGAUCCGACAAUCUGAACUAAGAUGGUUUGGCUAAUAAAAAAGAUUUUUUCGUAUUGCUUAUGACUCAAGAUUUUUAAAUUUUGAAGAUAUUAACUACUACAUUGCUAGCAUAUGUUGAACAAUAUGGUAGAAAAUUGUCUAUACCAUAUAUCCGGCUGUUUGAGUUACGCACGUGCUGAUCGAACAAUAUGCGCUAGGCAUGUAAAGAUACACUUGCAAUGCUUGGUUUACGAUACAAAAUGGAUUUUAUAUAGUCAAGUUUACAGUUUAAGAAAAAGAGAGUUAUUAAGAUAUUUUGAUAUUUAUUUUAGAAAAGAAAAAAUGAUUGUAGCUAGCCCUACAUGUAUAUUGUUGAGAUUAUCUUUUCAACCUAAAUUACACCAUUUUUGCAAUUUUUAUGUAAAAAAAAAAUACAAGGUAACUAAAAUGAGACUUUAACUUAUUUAAGAUCAGUAAAUCGAGACUAUAACUUAUUUUGUUUUAUUAUUAUUAUUUUUUUGAAUAUAACUGAUUAUUACAUAUAUAGUCCCUCCUUAACUAUUUGUCUUACACGAAGAGAUCAUCCUAAUCUUCAGUCUGAUUCAUGAUCAGUAUUAAUGUUUGAAAAAAAAAAAAAUUAGCAAAAUUAGCUAAACAAAAACAAUUUCGCGGUUUUCAUAAGUCAUCAUUAAUUUGGCUCAUUGCUACAAUUACCGUUGAACUAUAACCUUAAUCAGAUGAGUUUACUAGAGAAAAAGUUAUUUGGAUUCUAUGUUGUUAAGAAACGAAUACAGCGUAUAGAUAUACGGAUUGGAUAUAAACACAGAAUAUUAGUAUACUAAUGUAUUAUUUAAGCAUUGCUAUGGGUACCCCAUUUGGAGUUCUCCAUAAUGUUGUAGAUGAUGACAUCAUUAUUAUUAUACUCUAAACAUCAUUACUAAAUCCCAAACACCAUCACUAAAUCCUAAGUACUCUAACCCUCCACAUAUGUGUUCCAACAAAUCAACAAUAUUAUAGAAUACAGAUUUUAGGGUACAUCAAAUAUUUCUUUGUUUAUUAAUAGAGUGAUGCUACAGAUACCCCCCAAACACCAUCACUAAACCCUAAAUACCACUAUUGCACUCUAAGGUAUCGUUUGGUUCGGAGAUAAGCAAAAAGUGGCUUUCCCAGGGAUAGGUAUGAAUUGAGGUAUAAGCGGGGAUUGGAUCAAUUUUGCAUUUGGAUGAAAAUUGGAUAAUUCUUGGGAAUAAAAAAAAUAGUAUUUGGUUAGGUAAGAUAGAAUAAGAAAGAUUGUGGGUUUUUAUAAAUAAAAAAGUAAUGAUAUUACUCUCUUAUUAUAUUUAAAUUUGAAUUUUUAAAAUUUAAAAUUUAAAAAUUUUAAUUUUGAAAUUUCAAACUUUGAAAUUUAAAAUCUCAAAUUUAAAAUUCAAAAUUUCAAACUUUAAAUUUAAAGAUCAAAUUUAAAUUUGAAAAUAUAAAAUAUCAAAUUUUAAAUUUCAAAAAUUUAAAAUAUUAAAAUUUAAAAUUAAAAUUAUAAACUUUAAUUUUGAGAUUAUAAAUUAUAAAUUUUAAACAUUUAAAUUUUUAAUUUUUAAAUUUUUAAUUUUUAAAUUGCGGUGGGAACAAUUAAUUAAAAAUAAUUUAUUAUAAUAAAUUUAUAAAUUUUUUUAAAAUUCUACUUACAUUUAAAUUUAAUAAAAAGAAUUUAUUAUAAUAUUUAAAUAUAAUUUAUUAUAAUAUUUAAAUAUAAAUAAUAUGUAUUAAUAUAGUACGAUUAAUAAUUUUAUAAUAAAAAUAAUGUAUUGUAAUAUAUAACAUAUAAUAUUUAUAUACUUUAGUUUUAGUUCAAUUUAUAAUUUUAAUUAAGUUUGAAAUUAAGCAUUGGAAUAACACUAUUCCACCAAAAUAGUGGAAUAGCAAAUCCAUUGCUGUUCCGGAACAAUCGGGAAUAGCAAAGUUUGACCAGGAUAAAAUAUUCCUGCCAAAUUUUACCCCGUUUGGCAGAAUAGCGGGGAUAACUUUCGUUAUCCCCGCUUAUCUCCCAAACCAAACAGGGCCUAAACUCUAAACCCUUCGCACAUGCAUUCCAACGCAUCAACAAUAACUCUAAACCCUUCACACAUGCAUUCCAACACAUGAACAAUAUUACAAAACACGGAUUUUAAGGUCCAUCAAGUACUUCUCUUUUUAUUUAUAGGAUAUCGCUACAUGUACCCUCAAGUACCCUACAAUACUAUUGAUGAUGUGAUAAUAUCAUUAUUACAUUCUAACCAUUAAUUACUAAAUCUUAAAUAUAUUAUGAAAUUCUAAGUGUAACCAUUAUGCCUAAAUUCUAAGUCCUAACCCAUUUAUACAUGUUUGUCAACUCAUCAGCUUUUUGGGUACUCACAUUUCUCUUAUGGGAAAACUUCAAAAACCCCCCCUGUGGUUUCAUGCAUUCUCACUUUCAUACCCUGUGGUUUAAAACGUAUCAUUUUGCCCCCCUGUGGUUUCAUUUUUCUCUUUUUGUUAUCAAUUUUAUUAUUUUUUUUUUCUUAAAUCAGUGACAAAAUUAAAAUUAAAGGAUACUAAAGUGAAUAUUCGAUAAACAUAGAUGGUUAUCUGAAGUUUUUUGUAUAUAAUUUAACAAAAUAUUAACGAAAAAGCUUCUGAAAAGAUAAAAACGAAACCACAGGGGGGCAAAAUGAUACGUUUUAAACCACAGGGUACUAAAGUGAGAAUGCAUGAAACCACAGGGGGGGUUUUUGAAGUUUUCCCUUCUCUUAUUAAUAAGCAUUAAUAUUAAUUGCUCACUAAUUUUUAUAUACUACAUCAGCCCAGUGCAGUAAAAAGUAUCCUUAACAAGUAGCUAAGGAAUGUAACAAAGCCUCAGACUGGGGGAGAAAUUAUUGCCUAAACUAGAUGUUUUUAUGUGCAAUUCAUGCACCGUACUCUAUAUUUUAUAUAUAGGGCAAUUGCUUAUAUACUCCUGAAAAUUUCGAUUUUUAAUUUACCUCUCUUAAAAUGCUAAUAUUAAAAGUACUUUUUUACGUUCUAAGUUAUUUCAAAUAUAUCCCUAGAUUCUAUUACUGAACUGUUAACAAUAGCCGUUAUUUUUGUAAAAUUAUUAUUUUACCUUUUCAAAUGCAUCCUUCUACCAUCACCAACUUUUCUUAUUUGUCCUUAAGUUAGGAGCAAAAAAAGCAUUUUAACUUUUGGUCUUUUCAAAUAUAUCUCUCUGCCAUUACCAAUUUUUCUUAUUUACCCUUAAGUUAUGGGCAAAAGAGAUAUAUUGAUUUUUUUAAAACUCUGGUAGACAUUUAACUCACGUUUAAUCCGAAAAAACUUAACGGGUGGCAAUUGUGGGGGUGUUUUUGAAUAACGAAGGAACAUAUGAACAGUAUAUUGAAAAUAAAAAACAAGUAGGGAUAAAUUGGAUAUUUCCGAAGUUUUGAGAGGUAUAUAGGAAAUUAUACCCUUAUAUUUAUAUUAGAAAAGUAAAAAAAGAAGGGGAAGAAAAUAUGAUAUACGUGAUGUAAAAUAUCUAAUAGGUUUAUACAUUAAAAAUCAUAAGUUUUAAAACUCUUUUUUAUGUAUAUAUGAACUUAGGUAUUAUAAAGAUUUAGGAUAAACUUCAAGUUUUUCUCCUGUGAUUUAUUUUUAUGGUUUAAAAAAUUGUGCUUAACUAUUUUCUAACUUUAUUUUUGUUUCACCAUAGAUUUACUCUUAAUUUUUUUUAAAAAAAAAUUCUUCUACAAACUAUAGGAUGUAUUUUACUAUCUUAUGACACGCACUUUUCUUUAUUGUAGUAAUAAAAAAGUAUUAGUUUGUUAUCUUGUUUAAUAAUAGUUUCUUACACUGGAACAAAAAUAAAACUAUGUCUUUGUCAAUUCAUUGCAACAUUUUGAGCCAAAUGGUAAAUUUGGCAAAGUAAAAUACGUUAUAUCAUACCAUAGUGGGAUAAUUUAAAGUUUAUCCAUAUAUAUUAAAAAAUCAAACAUGUAUAAAGAAAUAGUUUUGUUCAUAAAAAAAAAAAAAAAACUAAUCUUAAAAUUUAUGAAUUUUUUAAUAUAUAUGUAGACCUGUUAAUUGAACAAAAAUCUAAUGAAAACAACUUGAGACCGCAUGACUCACCAUUCGUGCGGCUUGGGAAAAAAAAAGGGGGCGUUAUUGUUUUCCUUUUUUUAAAAAAAUCAAAAAUAUAAGCAAAAAAAAUUAAAAAUAUAAAUUUUCAGAAAUAAAAUUUAUAGAAGAAAAAAUUUUAUAAAAAAUAAUUUUAGAAAGCAAUGCACAUGUAAGGAGCUAAUUACUUCUAAUAUAUUAUUUUUAUAAGACAAAAGUGAGAAAGAUUAAGUUUAAAAAAAAUUAUAUUUGACUGGUUAAUGUGCUUUUAUUUAAAAAACUAAAACUUUUAAUAAAAUAUGGGACUUGUUUGUAACAAAGAAGAAAGAAGUAAUUAAUUCCAUCUCUCUCACAAUAAUUAAUUACUUCUAAUAUAUUAUUUUUAUAAGACAAAAGUGAGAAAGAUUAAGUUUAAAAAAAAUUAUAUUUGACUGGUUAAUGUGCUUUUAUUUAAAAAACUAAAACUUUUAAUAAAAUAUGGGACUUGUUUGUAACAAAGAAGAAAGAAGUAAUUAAUUAUUGUGAGAGAGAUGGAAUUAUUUUAAUUUUGAACAAUUUAGAAAAUAUUAUGCAAUUUUGUAUUGUUUUGAAGAAAAAAACACAUGAAAUUUAAAAGAAUAAAAUAAAAUAAAAUGCGGAUUUAUAUUUUCUUAAAUUUAUUUUUUUUAUUUAUAUAUUUUUCACUUAUAUUUUUUUAAUAAAUAAAUGAUAAUUACUUGCUCCAACUGGUUAAUUGGAGCCCUGGGCACCACCCAAUAAUAUGCCUGUAGUUGCUACAUAGUAGAGUUAUACAGAAAAAAUUUACAGUAUCACACUUGCACCAUAUCAUCAGUAACAAGUUAAUUAGAUAUCUCUUCUUGAGAGAAAAAUAUAAUAAAAAUAUUUUUCUAUUAAUCAUGAUAGGACGGGUGAACCCAGCCAAUUCUAUUGGUUGGAGAUACUAUGUCAGUAAUAUAACUGGUGCAUUCUAAAAUUUUUCAGUUACGAGGCGAACUAUGAGGCGUGUCCCGCCCUUUCAUGCAGAAAAAUAGAAAUGGUACGAGGAGUGACACGUGGGGCCCACCCACUCGGGUUGUUAAGUACGGCAACAAACCUACCUUAGCGCGGCUCAACGCGUGGCCCGGCAAAUUGACCCUCUCUCUUCACGGAGGAAUUCUACACUGUCACACUUGCACCACGUCAUCAAUAACAAACCAAUCACAUUUCUUCUUUUCAAACAAAAGUACAAUAAAAAUACUUUUUUACAAUCAUGAUGGAACAUAUAUUCUUAAAAAAAUUAAUUUGAUUAGUUUGUUACGCCACGUCACUAAUAUAUCCGUUGCAUUCUAGAAUUUUUCCUCUUCACGAUGCCAUGCACGUUACAUAUAUACAUUCCCCCGCACCCUCCCCUUCUCUCACCUUUUCUCUUCCCCCUCUCAUCCUCCUCCUCUUGUUCUGACCACCUUUUACAAACAAAACGGGUUAGCAGCAGCAGCAGCAGCGACACGUGGAACUGGCAACUUUGGGAAGACUCCUGUACGUGACACGCGAGUGGUAACGCUUUUCUCCAUUUUUUUUUAUAUGCUAAAUUAUAAUUAUGUACGGCUUACUGUAAAGAUAUUAAAUAAUAAAUAUGUUGUUAUAUUUUUAUUACUAAAUAUAAAUUUUAAUUUUAAUAAUCUUUGCAUGAAGAUGACAUAACCUAUAUUUGUAUUUAUUGUACUUUCCUAUAACCUAUGCAUGUACUUUAAUUUCUACUGGUAAAGCGACAUACGCGUUGAAGUUGAUAGAUGUACAGAUCUUUCUUAAAAUUUUCUUACACAUUAUGUGAGGACGAAAGUAUAAUAUAAGUGCAUUGUUCACAUUCUAAGCUAUUACAUAAAUGAACCACUUUGCAGUAAUUCCUAUACAUAUAUAUUGCAAUUAUAAGAAUACACAUGAUAAGCGAUCAAUUAUAAUGCCUAGUAAGUUUAUAAAUAACAUAUUAAUUCAAUAAACUGAAGCAGUAUAAUAGUAUAUGCAACACAAAGGCCACAAAUAAAAUAAUGAGAAAGUAAAAGAAAGAAAUUACAUAUUAAUGCACAAUUAGCACUAUCAAUGAUUUUUCUAACCUCAAGUUCUAUACAAUUGAGGACUCAUAGUAAAGAGAGAGUGGAGAAAAUGUCACCGAGCGUGCACCACUGUACCGACUUCGGAUCGAAAUACCCACAUGUACGAACGUAGCGCCUGUCUUUCGAUUGUGGAAGCCGGGUUAGAAUCCAACCCAUAAAUAUAAAACACUAAACUCACAACCCCACAAUUAAUCCCACGGGAAUCGGUUUUCCAAAAUCGAUUACCGUAACUCGCCGGAAGUCCCAAAAAUCGCACCGGGACUCCGCCGGGAACAACGAAGUGUCCCGAGACUCACCGACUAGCGCCACGAGUCACCCACUGCCACACAACACCAUAAUAAAGGUGUCCUGGCUGCAAAACACGUAAACUCACAUCGAAACGGUUAUCGUCGGAUAACCGUUCCGAUCCGGGUUCCCGAAAGUGUCAAUUUCAACACCGAACCCACCGUUGCUCACCCGUCGUCUCCGAACCCUCAAAACAACGUAAGUAACCAGCCAAUAAGGCUCAGUGACAAAGUAUAAUACACUAAUGCAUUGUCGGAAGAAAUCCGAACCGAAAUCGCGUUCCGUCGGCGAAUUUCGCCGAAAAACGCACCGAAAAUCGAUAUUCAAUUUUCGCAAAGGCCUCGGGCCUUGGACAAUCAGUCUAGAGAUCACCCGCCACCCGCACACACUGCCCAUAGCAGCCACGAAGUGUACAUUUGCACAAAAGUCCUUACAAUCACAUAAAAUCACAUCAUUUUAUGUGAUUUUCGAGAUUUUACAGCUCGACAGCACAAUUGAGGGAUUUCGAGGCCGGCCGAGACACAUGCUGAUAGGUCUCGUCGUGUCGGAGUCCGUGCUCAUGAUCCAGAGCAUAACCGUCCACUUUGGACAACGCGACAGCGACAAAAGUUCAGCGAACUACGUGCGCUGAACCUAAACUGCGCUUAAUUCAAAAACCGGGACUUACUGACCCUAAAGGAGAUGAGCACGAUGAUCAGCACUGAUCAAGGAUCAUCAUGCUCACUUUCAAAAGCAUCGAGGUGCCGCCAGGUCGCCGGAACAGUGACCCGAACAGGAAACGAUGGACAAAAUAGCUUAAUACAAGCUUACCUGGUCAAAGGGAGCUCAGGUUGGCCGACAACGGCCGGACGGCGGGCACCGGUAGCAGGCUGUUGCAACCGGUGUGGGGAGGUCGACGCUCGCGGCGGCGGGUAGCGGGAAGCAGCCGGAGGGGCGGCGGAGCAAGGUGAGUCCGCACCGCUAGGGCUCCGGUUCAGGGAGCUGCGGCGGCCACCGCGACAAGCGGGGCGCUCAGAGGCAACGGCGACAGGUCGCCGGAGGCCGGAGGGAGAAGGCGCAGCUGGCCCCAGGCGGCGGCGGCGCGCGAGAGAGGAGAUGACUCUGCCUCAGCCCGAGCUUGCUCCAUGUGGCCGCAAGCUGCCAGAGCAGCAGCGGCGGCGCGCAGGGACAGUUGCGACUGGCGGGGGAGGUCGUCAGAGGUCGGAGAAGGGCAACCCAAGUGGUCCUAAGUAGCGGCGGCGCGAGGGCCAGGAGCCAGAGCUACCUCAGCCCGAGCUGGCUCAGCUUGGCCGCAGGCUGCCAGGCCGGCAAUGACGGCAUGCGGGGACAGCGGCGAUCGGUAGGGAAGGUUGCUGGAGAUCGGAGCACGGCUAGGGGAGGAGCCCGUGGGUGAAGAGCCCUCCAAGUUGCUGCUCGGACAAAGGUGGAGGAAGGUGGUGGAGAAGAUGAUGGAGAGGGUGAAGGGGUAGAUUCCGGUGGCCGGCGACGUGCGCAGGCGGACGGGGUGUGGGCGGCUAGUGCAGGGGGAGGUGCUGACGGAGGCAGGGGAUCAGCUGAGGGAGGAAGGCAUCUAGGGUUAGGGUUUCAUCAAUGAAACCCUAAAUGCCAAUUUAAACCAAGUGUAAUUUUGCAUGAUAGUCCUCCAAAGAUGAUUGUUUUUAACUAAGUCCCUCAAGUGCGUGUAUUUUGCGCGUACGCAACUCAAAAUUCGAAAUCAAGCAAAACGGUGCAUAAUAUGGAGAGUUUUGCGACUUUUCCGUUUUGCCAAUUUCGACCCCUUCCCGAUCUUCACACGAUAUCAGGUGAUCCGUCUGUCGGAUUUGCGAACAGACUGCAUCAGCGCGUUUAGUACGUCCUUGGCAUCAACAUCACUAUUUUGUUUUGCCCGAUUCGGUGACCAAUUUGCAACGAAACCAUCCUCUCCGAAAACCACCUACACAUACACACACACACACACACACACACACACACACACACACACAUAUAUAUAUAUAUAUAUAUCAAAUUCAAAAUUCAAAUUUGAAUUCCUUUAUUCAAAACCUCAGAUAUUACAGAGUAGAUGUUCUUUACCUUUCUAGCAUGUUGAAUAAUAAGAAAAAUCCUAUAAGAAUUACAUGAAACGACAAAUCUCACCAAAGAAUUAGAUUAUAAGCCUAAAAUGAAUGUGCAAGAAAAAAUAAAUUAAUAUAGAUCAAAUCCUUAAAGAGUGACAAUAGUAUUUAGAAAGCAAAUACGAAGCGAAAACUACAAAGCAAAAUAAGAAAUAUUAUUAAGUACUUUUCCGUUCUCAGGUAGCAAUUGCUCCAUAUCUUUUUCUUUUUUUUACUUUGAUUACAAAUCAGAGGGUUAAGUGAGCAUGUUAAACUCAUUUAAAACUAAGGUUACGACAUGGUUAUGCUAUUUGAAUAGGAAGCUCUAAAAUUCUUCUUGUUCUUACAAUCUAUUUUUAGAUUUGCAAAAAAGAAUCAUCUAUCAUUCGUGUAGUAAAUAGCAAUUAAAUGCGCACAUCGAUCAAACACCUCUGAGCAUUGUUAGCUAUUGUUAUCAAAUAUGCCAAAAAAUUUCGAAAAAGAUAUAACAUUUGGUUGAAGCAAAAGGAAUGUCUGCAAGUAGUUUUCUAUAGAGAAGCAAACUAAGAACUCUUAUCAAAACAUUAUACAUAAUAUUAAGAGAUAAAAGGUGAAAGACAGAAUAAUCACAGCCUCAUAAGUAAUCAAAAGCAUACGAUAAUAAAUUGGUAAAGUGCAAUAUAGGCAAAUUUAUACAAUUACAAAUAUAUGAAUCUAGAGUUUUGAAAACUUCUUCACAUUUUGGGAAAUGUGGAUCCAAUGCUCUUUCAUGCUUUGAUCUCUUUCUACACCUUAAGAAUAAAGAAAAUUAUACUAUAACAAUUUGGUGAAGAGAAUGUGGAUAAUAGUGAUGUAAUAUUAACAACAAAUAGUAAGAAAAAAUAAAGAAAAUCAAUAAGAAGACGAACUAAUUAAAGGUAAUUAAAUGUCAUAACUUGUGAUAUAAAAUGAAGGUAAAAAAAUAGACACAUCAUUCUUUCAGCAUAUAGUAACAGACUAAAAAGGAAUGAAGAAUAAUAAAAAAUAGAAUAAAUAAAUAGAAGUUCAAAGCCUACAAAUAAAUAGGUUUUCAAUGUUACUUUUGGAUAACCAACACAAUAGGAAAAAAAUGAGUAAUAAUGAAUGCUAAUUAAAACAUUAUGUAAUAUUUGAUCAUAUCCUUAAUAGUUAAGAUUACUUGCACGUUCUCAUGUGACUUCUUAAGAAUACACUAACAAACAAUCCUAUGAUAAGCAAGAGUAGAUAGAUUAAAUAUUCUCUAUUUAUUUAACUUUCGGUGAAAUACAUAGAAACUUAGGUUAGCUUAUGCAGAAAAUACACCAAGCACUUUGGAAAGCUAUAGUUCUUUGUUGUAACAACUGACCACCUAGAGAAUGCAAUGAUUUAACAUCAAACCAAGGGAGGGUAGCUUAAUAGUGACAAAAGUGUUGUCUGUGGAGAGGUAAGAGUGAACCUAACUCUAGGGCUAUCUUAAUUUGAGGCAGAAUUCAGUAGCUUAAGUCGAGGAAAAAAUUAAUAGCAAAUGAAGGAUGGUGAGGAUGCAAAGGUAAGCUGCACAAAAGAUCUUGGGGCAGCAUUGAGAUUACAUCCUUGGUCAAGCCAUAAGACCAGUGGUUGUGAUAGUUCCAUUUUCUAAAUAUUCGUAGUCAUCUAACUUGCCAAAAGGAGAAAAAAAUCCGAAUUUCACACCAAAGCAUGCUGUCACAGCCUUAGAAUUUUUGUUCGCAAAGCCCGUAAGGCGCACGCCUUCCUGCUCGAAGAUGGGCAAGCCUAGCUCCUUAUUGCUAGCUUGGACCUCCACUCCCUACAACUAAGUAUGCAAAAAGAAGAGAAAAGAGAGAAACAGAGGUUCCCAAAAACUAAGUACUCCACUACUUAGUUUAAUAGGACUACAAAACACAACACCUCUUGUGUCUCUAUCUUCUCUACUUUGGCCUUAGCCAACCCUCUUACUUAUAGGCUCCAAGAUAUAUUGAAUAUAGCUCAUGCUAACUCACUACUAAACACACAUUAAAGCACAUAUUAACUCACCCACAAUCACAUAGUAAUGAGCCCUCAUUAAUGCCUAAUGAUUGCAAGAUGAUCAUAAGGGUUGCCCAUGACUCUUGGGUUUCCGCUGGCAGUUAUGAAGGUAUUAAUUGCAGCAGUUACAUGCCCAUUCACCUCUCAUGAAAGGUGUAAUAUCUGGGAUAUUGUAAAAGGAGGAAUUCAAAAUUUCAAAUUUUCAAUUCAAAAAUUUGAAUAUAUAUAUAUAUAUAUAUAGUGGCUAUAUUGCUAUAUUUGUGAGAGCAAGAGGGGAGUGGAUCUUCACGAAUUCGGGACCAAAUCACACGAAACAAAAAUGUAAUCUCGAAGUCCGGCAGUACCAGAAGUGUUGGCAAAGUCUAUUCGCAAUUCUGAUAGCGGAUCGUCCAAAAUUGCACAAUUAUCGAGUAGAGGUCUUUUGGGGAAAAUUGCGUUUCGAAAAAUCCCCCAACAUUUCAGGUGCCAAAUUGUGCGAAAUCACACACGGAGGCGUCAUUUUGUGAGUUACACAUGCUGUGAAGGACUUGAGAAAAAUUUUAGAAUUUUUGUGGGGUUUUUCUGCAUUUUUUCCAUGUUGCUCAAGAGAAACCCUAGGGUUUCUCUUCUUUUCUCUCCACCAUAUACCCCCACAUCCCUCUCCUUCUCACAGCCACCACCUCCCCUCAUCCCUACGCGCGCCGCGCGCCGCCCAGCCGUCAGCGGCCCCUGUUCUGGCCACUAUGAUCCUUUUCUCUCUCUCUCAACCUUCUCUCAAUCUUCUCUCAAUCUCUCUCUCCCUCUCUCUUCUUUCUUGUGGACCCAAGCUGUAAGGAGGCCCGCACCAGCCUCAGGCCCUCUCCCCCUACGAUGCCGGACCUCCGGCGGUCUUUCCCAGCGACCGGUGAUACAGAUGAGUACUUCGAUCCGAAGCCGGUACAGCAGCUCAUGCUCGAUGACUUCUUAUCUUUUUUCUCCUAUUUGAAUUGCAUAGCUUAUCAUGAUUAUAUGCUAAGCAUCUUGCACACUACCUGGCGCUCGUUGGUCUACUCUACAGUUGUUCGUCUUAUAGUAUUAUGAUUGAUCUAGUAGUAAAGUAGCACUCCGGUGAUUGAUUAUCGUUGCAUGACUUCAUCACUGAUGACAUUUCGUAGUUGUUGAUACAGUUAUAUAGACCUGAUAGGUCAGUGGCAUGGUGACAUUCCUUCGGGAAUAUUAGACCGGAUUUGGUCGGAUAUGGUUGUGGAUUGUUUUAUCGGCUUGUUGUCGUUGUUGGCCAUUGAGCAUAUCGCAUCGAUCGCCACAGCUCAUGCAUUUCACGUACACCAAUGGUCCGAUCCACCGCAAAAGGUGUUCUUUUCUAGAAAAGUGGUCGUACAUCUGACCCGUAAGCCCAGUGGCUCAGUGCUGGGUCAUAUGCCAGGGAGACCCAGUGGUCUACUGCUAGAGUCAUAUCCCUAGUAGAGCGGUCGUGGCAUAGCCGGAGCUCCUUAGACCAAUAUGGCAGUUGAUUGGGUAUACUUGUGCUAUCAGUGACAGCUGACGCAUAGUCGUUUCCCUAUUUUCCUUUGCAGUAGCGGUUAUUCAUACCAUUAUCACAGUUGUUUUCAAUUCAGUUAUCAUUGCUAUUACGCUAGUUUGACUGUUGAGUCGUUGCUUUAUUAUCUCACUUUACAGUAGUAGCUUCUUUGGUAAUUAUCAGUGGUUGUUAUUCUUUGUCAUUAUACCGGAUUUACUUGUGACUACUGCUAUUUAUCCCUUCCAUCCACCAUGUACAGCUUGCCUUCGUCGACUUGUGGUACCCACUAGGAGAAGAGCCUUGUUUACAUGUUCUCACCCUCCUCACUAUUUUUCAGGUAGCUCGGUCUAUAAGGGUCAGGACAGUGCGUGAGGACAAUACUAGAUAGUGAGCUCGAGAUAGAGAUCCUGACCUUACAGAAUCAGUUUUGGUUUGGCGCUUACUAUAUGCAUGUCAAUAGAUAGACUUGAUAGCUUAGUUUUUUGCCACCCUCAUACUUGUUAGUAGUUAGACAAUAUCGUGGUUCAGUGGAUUUACUCGCGGAUUUGGAUAUCUGUAGAUUUUGAAUACAUGAAAGAUUUUGGACUGGGCUUUUAAACGAAGUUUUCUUUAAAGUAUACUCGUAGUUUUCACAAAUAAUGGAUAUCUACCCCUCGUGGUAGCUUGUUUACUGUGACAUAAAGGUUUCCAUAUGAAAAAUGAUUUUCAAAGUGAUUUUUUGGUUUUUCGUGGAUUUUUAAAAAUUAGAGUUUCAAAGUGAAGCCUUUGUGUGGGAAGGCACUUUCAACUAGUAGGAAUGAAUGUGAAACUUAAGAAAUGAUAAUUUGUGUGAAUUGUGAAUGUUGUUAGUGUGAGUGGUAUGUAAUGGUUGUCACUUGUACUAUGUGCUUUGCCGUGCAAAUAUAAGGGAGACUCUGUCCGUUUGAACAGAGAAUUUCUUGUAUUUAUGGCGGAUCUGUUGUAAUGUACCGAAAAGUUCGAGUUGCAAUGUUAACUUUGAUCUAAAGGAUCAAAGUGAAGCUUGAACUGGUCGUGUAUCAUUCCCGAGUGAUUUUGGAGGUAUGGGAAUGAAUUCUGAAGAUAAUUGAGUGUUUCGGCGCAAAUUGGGCGCGAAACAAAAUUUACAGAGAAUUUUCGGAUUAAAGCGCUAACUUUGAUUAAAUGAAUCAAAAGUGAACAAUGAGGAUGAUUUAUUGUCACACCCCAAACCCGAGGCGUAACAGACGCCGCAUACCUGCUAAACUAGCAAAUAUGUAAGGCUACAGAAUCAGACGGAAACUAGCAAAAAGAUAAUUACCAAUUUUUCCACUAAAUCCAAAGAAUCAUAAGAUGAGAUUAAGAAAUUGAAUUUCAACUAAAAUCAAACGGAAUUCUAACAUCUAUAAAACUAAAGCUUACUACGAAUCACAAAACUAAAGCUUACUACGAAUCACAAGAGAGAUUCGGUCUACAAAAUACCAUAAGUGACAAAAGUGGGUACGAAGAAAUAACGAAAUAAAAGCAAAUGACAAACGAUUAUAUACGAAGUCCAAAGAUUCACAUCCGAAAAUACUAGAUGUAAAAAAAAAAAGGACUAAAACAAAACUAGCUACGUCUAACGUUCACUUGGUCUCAGCCCCGCCCGGCAAAUCAGUCUCGGUAUCUGGGUAAGCAACCAUACACCACAUUAGUCGGAUUAAGCAUAUAAAUAAAUAAAUACAAAAAUUAAUUUAAGCGACUGGUUUAUAAUUUGCAAAAUUUCAGAAAACAAGACUUUAUCAAAACUUAAAAUUCAGAUCGGAUCGAAACUAUAAAUUUUACAAAGCGUUUCUCUUUCGACAUAUAAACGAAGUAAACAUUAAGUCCCUGACACUUAACUAUAUCAUAUGAUCCGUUGGCGAGAUCCAGAGGCACCCGAAGGUGCAAACAAAGCAGAAGCACCCGAAGUUGCAAACAGAACAGAGGCACCCGAAAGUGCAUGUACAAAACAGAGGCACCCGAAAGUGCAUGUACAAAACAAAGGCACCCAAAAGUGCAAACAAAACAGAGGCGUGGAUAGGCGCAGGCACCCGAAGGCGCAAUACAAAGAUGAAACUAGCUUCUAUAACAAAAUACACGUCGACAUGGCCAACAUUAGCAUAGCAGAAUAUUAGGAGAAAUCAUAAUUCAAAAAUUAUCCAGUCACUAAUUUACAAAACAGAUUAUCAAAUUUCAAAAGUUCAUUUUGCUAAAAAGACCUGUCAAUCACAGUUGAAGCUCAAUUUACAGAAAUAUUUAAUAAUAUGCUCAACCCGUAAUUUUGAAAUCUACAAAAUAAGAUUUUCAUACAAUCUAAAUAUUUUUCUAAUUUAUCUUACGAAAAACUAACGGGUGUCUGGUCGCUUACCUCAAAAGCGGCUUCUAAGCUAAGAAGCUAUCCAAUUGAAAAUUGCGCGAAAAAUCAAUCACCGGAACCUAAAAUAGAGAAACAUGAUUCUCUAUAAGCUACUUAAAAUAAACUUACAAAGAUGACAUAUAUACAUUUAGAAAGCAAGCUUAUACAAAAAUCUGAAUUCAGAUAGGUUCACAUAGGUUGACAAAAUCGGCUACAAAUGCAUGCAAAAAGGUCAAGAUGGAGCACGAAAGAGAUUUAGAAUACAUUCGACGAAACUCAAUUAGCAAUCAAAAGGAUGAUGAGUUUCAAAUAUUAAAGUUUUCAAAGAAGUAAGAUAACAUGAAUGAAGUUUUAGAUAAUAAACGAAGGAUCUAAUGCUCAAAAAGAGGGUUUUCAGAUGUUGAAAUAUUGAUAUGCAAAUCAAUAUUUAGAUAAAAUCAAGAUGGGAACAAAAACAAUGUAUGCCUUCUUUUAGGCAUUUCGUCGAACAUAAAGCGGACAUUCCAAUAAGUGUGUACAAUAUGUGAAGUUUUAUGCAACUAGAUCAUACAGAGGAUACAAGAUAUGAAAUUAAACGGUUCGAACGACGAAGAUUAGAUAUAACGAAAUCAGAUUUUGAUGGUUUCAAAUUUCAAUCAUCAUGAGACGAGUAUUCAAAAUAAUAAUAAAACAAUGAACAAAGAGGUUGGAUGAUCACAAGAUUCGAUAUAGAGGUAAAAUGAGGGAAAGAAAAAAACCUUCUCGAAAAUGGUGAAGAUGACGGCAGGAUACCCUCGAUAGCGAACCAAAAAAUAACGGCCAAAGAGGAUUGCGGCGGAGACGGCUACGGAUGAUGGCGACGAUCGGAUAGCGUCGCGCGCGCACGUGCGGAGCAGCAGACGCGUAAGGUGCUUUGAAGAAUGAGAGAGAUAGGGAGUCGUACGGAAGAGGGGAAAAAAAAAGGAUUGAUCGGGUUAGGGGGUUCAUCCGGAAUGAAAAGAAAAGGAAAAAGAACUUAAUUAGAUUAGGGAUUAAAUAAACAAUAUGCCGCCAAGCCCCCGUACUCAUAAUAUUUACAAAAAGGUCCAAGUUUCAAAAGAAUAGGAGUCAAAACAAGAAGUUAAAAGUAUGGGGUGUUACAUUUAUAAUAUCUCCAAAUCAUUUUGGAGAUGAUAGGGUAGUUAAGUGGCAGAUUUUAGAACUGUUCGGAAGUGUUAGAGCGAAGUUGACGCGAGAAAAUGACUCAGAAUUGCUGUUGUCAAGUACAGAAAACUACAGGGACUACAGUGUAAACAGCAAUUUUAAUUUUUGUGGAGGAUUUAGGAGCAAUUGCUACUAUUGCUGCUGCUGUUGCUGCUGCUAUUGCUGCUGCUGCUGCUGCUGCUAGCUGUUACUGCUGCUGCUGUUAAGUGGGCUGCAGGGACUGUUUUGUAAAAACAGAAUUCCUGCCUCGUGGAGGGGUUUAGUUGCAUUUUUUUGGGCUUAUCCUUAAACCGCAGCCUACCCCAGCUGCUGCUACUUACCAAAUAUCCUCUCCACUUCAUUCUCUUUUCAUUUCUUUUCUUUUUUUCUCUACAAGCCUAGGGUGGCUGAAGUUGGUGAAGAGGGUUUGUGUGGAGUUCGGUUUUCUUAGUGAUUUCAGCUGAGAGGAAGGUCCAGGAGCUGAGAACAGCUCGUGGGAAGCUUCCAAGUUGAGGUAGGUUUGAUCUAAUUUUAGAUUAGAGUUAGGUUAUUGCUCUAAAAGAGAUUAAGCUACAGAUUUUGAGGUAUUAGAACUUCUAUUACCAUGAAAAAUCUUAAAGAAUUGUGUGUGCACAGCAUAUAUAUAGAUAUAUAUAUGUACAUGUGAAUUAUUUGUUGGGGAUGAAACCUGAGGUAUGAGAGACAUAUUUCCUGAUUAUGGUUCAUGGUAUUUAACGUAAAGGAGGAGUAGACAAUAGAAUUUUAGGUUUCUAAAACUAAAAUUGCUAUGUGAAACCUAGAGAGAGCUAUGUAUGUAAAUAGCAUGUGGGUUUACUUGACAGCUGGGAAUAGGGUUAGUAUCCUGUAAUUCCUGAUUAGGGAAUUGAUGUAAAUCCUUUGAAUUAAUGAGUUUUGAGGUUCUUGGGCUACUAAAGAGUUGAAUUAUUCUAUGUAUUUUGUGAAAUGUUGUAGAAACAGUGUAUGUAGAGCCUAAGAUCGAAAAUGCUAUUUUGUAGGAUUGGGAGCCUAGCUUGGAAUUGAUCACAUAUAAACUUAAUUGAGGGUAAAACCGACUUGUUGGGAAGCUCGGAUCGGUGUUUCUACGAGCCUACGGCAAGCUAUUGAGGAAAAACCUUAUUUUAGCUUCGUUUGUCGCAAGCGAGAAUUGCGAUUGUUCCUAAAUCCCGGAAAGUGGAUUUCUCGCAUCCCGGUAUCAAUUAAAGGUGAGUUGUGCUUUACCGAAGCGAUUAGGUCGCUUCCAAGCCAAAGUAAAGUAUGAUUAUUAUUGAUGCAUAUAUGUAUAGUGGUAGAUUAUGAUUGAUAAUAUGAAUGCAUGAAUCAUAUUGUGUUAAUUAAUGUUACCUACCAUUGGAAUAUGCAUAUUGAUAUAUUGUGGAUAAUGCUAGAUGAUGUAUGAAAGUUGACAUAUUGUGAACAUGCUAGGUUCUUAUAAGUUGAAAAUGGGUCGAUAAAUCUAAGUUUGUCAGAGAACUCGACAGUUACAAAGUGAGAACGUGUAAACUACAAUCCUAGGUGUGGACAACUAGGAUGAUAAGUAGAUCGAAUGGCAUGAACCUAGUGUUAUUAAACAUAGAUUGGACAUGAACCUAGUGUUAUUGAACAUAGAUUGAAUAAGUGAACCUAGAGUCGAGAUCUAGGUAAAAUUGAUAUAGAACCUAGUGUGAUUGAACCCAGGUUAUGAGGUAUAGUGACACUUAGUGUACUUGAAACUAAGUUGUGGAUUAUAGUGGUAGAAGGACCACUAGGAAAUGAAUGGUUUAGACCUAGAAAGGUCGACAACAUAGGGUAAGUGUUAAACCCUUAAGAUUUGGAAGUGGAUUCCGGAAUCCUUAGGAAUGGUGGCUGCAAAUGCAGUGGUUGAGACAAGUGGAUUAGCAAAAAUAGAAUCAGAACUGCGGGUAUGUUGGUUCUCCUCGCCCGACAGUGAUUCAACGGGUACGUUAGUUCUCCUCGCCCGGUAUGCCAUGAAGCAAGUGAAUCAGAACUAUGGGUAUGUUGGUUCUCCUCGCCCGGUAGUGAUUCAACGAGUAUGUUGGUUCUUCUCGCCCGGUAUGAGCUCAAAACGGGUAUGUUGGUUCUCCUCGCCCGUUGAGCUUAAGUGACUUAUGGUCUCGGGGUUCGACGGUUCUCCUCACCCUGUGGUAGAUCUAUAGUCGAGUGGACUUAAGGCUGAGGUGCUUGUGAGACGUCCUUCACCUCGAGCCUGACUUGAUGCGGUAUUCUGCAGAUGAUUGACUCAAGAUCGAGUCGGGUGGAUAACUUGAUUAAGGUAGAUGAAACCUUAGAAGCUAGUUGGAUAUGAGCUAUGGAUAGUGAGAUAGAAAGUAGAAUCAAUAGAUCUACUUAUAUAUUGUUGCAUAAUUUGCAUAUUGCAUAUCUUAAGGCAUACACAUGUAUUUAAUAUUUGCAUAAACUAUCUGUGGAUAUCUGUUGGACUAACAUGUUGCAGUGCCUCCUUUGGACCUGGUGGGUCGAGCUCUUCACUUGGGUGGCCGUGCCCACUGGAAACUAUAUUUAUAUAGUUCUCACCCCACGUUGUUUUGGGGAUUUCAGGUUCCCACGUGAGCGGAGCGGCGGCGCGAGGAAAGGGCGUAGUUCCGUAGAUAGCGCCCUACCACCGAGACCAGAGAUAGCGGUACCCUAAAGUGGUCUAGCUAAGGGUAUAAAAUGAAAGAAACAAACUUAUAAUAAUUUGUAUAACUUAGUGGUACUUGAAAAAUGUAAUAUUGUAAUAUGUAUAAGUUGUAAGAUGAAUGCUUGUAAUAGCAUCGUUUAGCAUUUUAUGUUUUUGAUACUUAUGCAAUCUAUGUUGAAUAUUGUUCCUAUUUGGAACCACGUGUAUUGCAUGGAUUGUGACGCCUUGAACGUACAGGGGAAGCUCUGUCCGUUUGGCGGUCCAUUAGCGUGCUCGAAUACGACGAAAUAGGCGGAGCUCGGGGCGUGACAUCUGUUGUUCGUCUUUAGGGUCCAGAUUUCUUUUCUAAAAAAAGGGGUAGUUUUUCUGCCGAUUCUAAUUUAUAAAGACAGCCCAAUUUCAAAUUGGCUUCCAAUAAGGACCCUGGGGCGUGACAGAUUAAGACGGUAUCAGAGAAAUGGUCCAACCACGACUUCACUUAUAGUUUUUUUUUUUAAAUGAAACUGAACCACUAGUUAGGUUGACCCAUAGAAAGACCUAAGAUGAUAGGCACGCGCGUGCAAGGUUGCUGGGAUUGAGUCCUAAUGUUCUGGUCGAGCUUUAAUAGUUUCGAGGCAUAUGGUUAUUACUCCGUGCGUAUUACGAUUUUCGCAGACUCGUGUCUCUGUCGGGACUGAUGACGGUGUACCAAUACAGACAUCGAGUGGCGGGAUGAUAUUCACCAGGUGUAGCCACUCUUAUCAGAUAGGGCCUUGAGGGGCCAGGUGAUAUUAUUUAAUAGGACUAAGCGAUCGUCUCAACUGCCAGUGCCCAAGCCACACUCCCUACAUAGCGCACGAGUUUCACUGCGAGUAUCUCCACGGAGACGGUGUAUAGAGCGAUUUCGACCAUGGCUACUGCGAGGGCUGCUGGAGUGCAGCCCGAGGCUUCAUGACUGUCCGAUUGUGCGGUUGUGGUAUAGGUAAUGCUCCUCUAGGCUUGAUGGGUAGGGCUGUGACGCCUAUUCCAUCCCUCUAUUCAUUAUUGGUGGCACAGUGUCACGGAGAGAGGAGCAAACCCAAUUUUGGGUAAAUGCAGUGUGUUGGCGAGAUCUGACCCACCUAGCUUCGGCGGCAUGACUCCCAACCUUAGGAUUGGGAGUAUGGAUCGUGGUUAUGGUAGGACUCAGUAUAGAGUCUCAUGUGGGACGUUAUGGUCAUUGCUAGUAUUUUCGAGCGGGUUUGCCUGACUUGUUAACUACGUCUUGGUCGAGAUGAGCACGUGGGUUGUACGGUGAGGUUGUCACUCAAUAAAUUACCAGUGCAGGUGCUUUGACUAUCUGCCGGCUCACUUAUCCGGUGGGCAUACUUUGGAACUGCUUUGAGAUGCCAUUCUGGUGUGGGUCCUUAUGGUGCACACAUCGUGUGUGACUGCCCCAACACCUUGAUCGGUGUGUUGUGGGAUCGAUAGGCUUUUGGCAUGUUAUGAGCUACUCCUUGGAAUUACUUGGGAAUCUUAAAAGGGUUAGUAGCUGGUUGUCUGAAGUUCGGAAUCUUGUUGCAAUCACAUUAGUUUGUGCGGGUGGCGACUUUAUGUUGCGGGCCAUCGUCUGUUAUUGUGGAGAGUCGUAGGGCUACUAGGGAGUAGGCUCAAAGGCUGGUCUAGCUUCAAAUAUCCGCUUGCAAACUCAAUAUUUUGAUGGUGUUUUAGUGCACCACGGUGCGGUAUAGAAGUAAUGGUUGGUUUGGUUUAUGUGUCACUUAUACAACUUGUUGUUGGUGAUGGAUCUACGGGUAAUUCGCAUUUCUUUCGAUAAGUACGUUAGCUGCAGACAACAUAGUGUGAAAGUUGGGACGAAGUACCCUAUCCCUUUUAGGAGUAUCAAGAUUGGGUCGAUGUAUUUUUCCUACGAGAUAAUCUCUAUAGGUCAUCUUGUGGGAAGGCUAGAGUAGUGGUCAUCUUCGAUCGGUGAUAGGACUUGGGUAAUUCCCAAGCGGUAGUUGUGCAGUUGAUCUAUGAGCACUGCACAUGGUUGAUGUUCUGUUGUGGGCGUGGUCGCCUACCAGCUCGGUGGCGAUGCCAUGCACGACUAAGCGGUGUUAUAGCUCUUACGAUCUCGGUCAUGCUAUCGAAGGGUAUAAACUGUGUCCGACAUGUGUCAUGAGCUUAGUUGUUAGCUCAAAUGUCACGGCGAGUGACGGCGUACGGUGAGGCAUGUGCAUCAUGAAUGUCAUAGUGUAGGAAAUUAUGAUCCGAUCGUGGUGACAGGUGCCCUUGGGUCUCCCUGAGACUGGCGUUUAGUGUUGCUGAGGACAUCAGUCGCUAGGGUUCCUUUGAGGACGACACUGACAGGGUCUCGUAGAGACAAAUGUUGAGCAGCUUGGUGAGGACUUCACGGUCUAGUACGAUGUCUCACAAUUUGAUUUUAGGUGUGUGCCCAUGCAGCAGGAUCGGAUCAUAGCCUAUGUAUUACUAUAACUGAAGGAUUAUGAGAAGAUUUAUCCGACGCAUGAUCUCGAGCCCGCGGCAGUGGUGUUGGCCCCGAAGUUAUGGAAGCACUAUCUAUAUAGGACACACUGCGAGGUGUUCACGGAUCACCAGAGUCGAAAGCAUGCUUCAGCUAAGGUGUCCUUUAUGAUUGCUAGAUAGGAUUGCUGAGUAGAGGAGUUUCGUCACUUGGAAUUACCCCCACCGGGGCCACGGCCCAGUUGAUGACCUUGGUAGUGCAGCGCACCUUGACGGAGUGGAUCGCGCUCGCACAGCAGACGAAUCCGUACUUGCAAAGAUGCAGGCAGUUGUCGAGUACCGCAAAAGAGGGGGGGACUUCUUUAUCUACUCCGAUGGCUUUCUGCACUUUUGAGGCCGAUGGUGUGUGUCUGAUGACUCAGAGUUGAGGAGAGAUUUACGAUUCGAGGCACAAUGGUCCCAAUACACUGUUCAUCGCGGCGGAACCAAGCUGUGCUGCAUCCUAAAGUUCUGGUAGCCUGGGAUGAAAUUGGUUGCAGCACAAUACAUAACCCAGUGCUUGGUCUAUCUGGAGGUGAAGGACGAGCAUCACCAACUGACAUGGAAGCUGCAACCACUUUCGAUGCCUAUGUAAAAGUAGGAAUAGAUCACAAUAGAUUUCGUCAUGGGAUUACCCCAAUCACGAGAGGUCAUGAUGCGAUAUGGGUCAUUGUGGAUCGCUUAACAAAGUCGGCUCACUUCCUGUGAUAUGGCAGUUGAUUGGGUAUACUUGUGCUAUUAAUGGCAGUUGAUGCAUAGUCGUUUCCUUAUCUUCCUUUGCAAUAGCGAUCAUUCAUAUCAUUAUCGUAGUUGUUUUUAGCUCAAUUAUCAUUGCUAUUGCAUAUUGCACUAGUUUGAUUGUUGACUAUGGUUGGUCAUUGCUUUAUUAUCUCACUUUACAGUAGUAGCUUCUUUGGUGAUUAUCGGUGAUUGUUAUUCUUUGUCAUCAUACCUAAUUUAUUUGUUACUACUGCUAUUUAUCCCUUCCAUCCAUCGGCUUCUACAGCUUGCCUUUGUCGGCUUACGGUACCCACUAUGAGGGAAGAUUUGUUUAUAUGUUCUUACCCCCCCCUCCCUAUUUUUCAAGUAGCUCGGGUGGUGAGAGUCAGGAUAGUGCGUAGGACGAUAUUAGAUAGUGAGCUCAAGAUAGGAGAUCCCGGCCUUACGGUAUCAGUUUUAGUUUGACGCUUACUGUAUGCAUGUCAGUAGAUAGACUUGACAGCUUAGUUUCUUGCCACCCUCAUACUUGUUAGUAGUUAGACAGUAUCAUGGUUCAGUGGAUUUACUCGUGGAUUUGGAUAUCCGUAGAUUUUGAAUACAUCUGAGAUUUUGGACUGGGCUUUCAAACGAAGUUUUUUUUAAAGUAUACUCGUGGUUUUCGCAAAUAAUGGAUAUCUACCCCUCGUGAUAACUUGUUUACUGUGAAAUAAAGGUUUUCAUGUGGAAAAUGAUUUUCAAAGUGGCUUUUCGGCUUUUCAUGGAUUUUCAAAAAUCUAGAGUUUCAAAGUGAAGCCUUCGUGUGGGAGGCGCUUUCAACUAGUAGGAAUGAAUGCGAAACUUAAGAAAUGAUAAUCUAUGUGAAUCGUGAAUGUUGUUAGUGUGAGUGGUAUGUCAUGAUUGUCACUUGUAUUAUGUCCUAUGUUAUGCAAAUACACGAGAGGCUAUCGUUUGAACAGAGAAUUUCUUUUAUUUGUGGCGAAUCUGUUGCAUGUCUUUAGGGUCCAGAUUUUUUUUUUAAAAAAAAAAGGGGGCAGUUUUUCGCUGAUUCUGAUUUAUAAAGACAGUCCGAUUUCAAAUUGGCUUCCAAAAAGGACCACGGGGCAUGACAAAAGGCUGUUGGUUUUGGGCCUCCUUUGGCUACCCACUUAGUGAAGUUGGGCCAAGGAUUUGGUCAGACUGAAUAAUUACUAAGUCCCUGACAUUCUCCACCACCUAACACGCAGACGUCCUCAUCGCGCGCCAAGCCACUCUGCAUAGUCUUGCUCGUAGUCCGCCUUACAUUCGCGCCCGCGCGGCCUCGAGCCUUGCUAUCGCAGUCCGUCUUCACUUCUGCACUAGCUCCCAAUGCCUUGCCCCUCUGAGUGCGAACACCAGCUAGCUUGCUGCACAAAAAAAUUUGUCGUUGAGCCCGAACCAUCGAGUGUGCCUGUCCUCCGCAACACGCACGCACGCACACGCCGCCAAGUUGCGGGAUGCUCCCUAGUCCCCUCGGGCUCUUUGGCUUUGUGCUGGAUAGAGCGACGCUCCCCUUGGUUGGGUAGUUGCUCUAGCAUCAAUUGAGACUUAGCAGUCUCGCCCUCGCUCAAGUUCUCCUCCUCGAGUCCCCCAGCCCUCUCGCACUUCACCUCCUCGCAAAGGUACAGGGUUGUAAAGGUCUGAUCCUUCGUCGAUGGGCUGAACUCUGGUUGAGCCCCUUUGUGUUCCCUGUAUCACGACACUCCCCCACCUUUGGCCUUGCUCGCGUUAGACGGUUUGCCAUGAUCACUCUCAGUCUACUCGAAUACUGCCUCCCUCAUCUUGAGGUCCUCGACCUCUUUGACCUGAGCACCGAUGUCCUGAAGCAGCACAUCACACGUAUCCUGCUCGUCGUUGCGACAGGCAAGAUCCACCUUAAACUGCUUCAGAUGAUGGCGGAAUGUUGUCAUGGCUGCAACAAUAUCCUUCUCCAUCAAGUGAAACCCCUCGUCCAACAACCUCACCGUUUGCAGAAAUGCGAAGGACUGCUCCUCCAUUCUUGUCGUAACAUCCUCCUACAGCUCUGCACAGUACUUUAUGGAUGUGGCCUCCUUCACGAGAGCCUGGGGCUCCUUGCUCUUUUCCCACUUGGUCUGCUUCAGAGGCUCAUCAUUUACGUCGAUGAUGGCAGUAUCUGAUGACGACAUAGUUCCUUCUCGAACCGUCUCUGAUACCAACUGUCACAACCUUAACAUUUUUGUUCGCAAACCCCGUGUGGCGCUCGCCUUCUUGCUCGAAGAUGGAAAAGUCUAGUUCCUUAUUGCUAGCCUAGACCUCCGCGCCCUACGACUAAGUAUGCAAAAAGGAGAGAAGAGAGAGAGGCAGAGGCUCCCAAAAAAUUAAGUACUCGACUACUUAGAAAAAUAGGACUACAAAACACAACUCCUCUUGUGUUUCUACCUUCUCUACUUUGGCCUCAGCCAACCUUCCUACUUAUAGGCUCCUAGAUAUAUUGAAUCUAGCCCACACUAACUCACCACUAAACACACAUUGUUUUACAUUAACUCACUGUAACGACCCAACCGACUAGCAAUAAUAACUCAUUAGGCCAAAACCACCGGCCCAAAAUGCUUAAACCCGAUUAUUAUAAUUAGCCUAAUCAAGCUUAUAUACUCACACAUCUAGCCAUAACUACCCGAUGUGGGGUCGUUGGGGUGUCACAGACUCCCCUCGUUUAGGCCAUGAUGUCCUCGUCAGCCCUAAACACACACACAGAACCCAAGAUUACCAGGCAAUGUGAGACUUGUCUCGCUAGCCUUUAUCAUUCCGACCCUAACUUAACCCGUCAAUCACCGACCCUGACUUAGUCUGUCAUUUCAACCCUGGCUCAGCCAAAACUUAUCUCACACUUCUGGCUGGUGAACUAGCUCUGACCCGAUCCGCUAGCAAUAAUAACUCGUUGGGCUCAACCACCGACCCAAAAUGCUUAAGCACGGUUAUUAUUAAUAGGGUGGAGUCCUCUUAUAAAUCCAAUGACAACCUCAUUCCCAUCCGAUGUUGGACUAUUGUCAUGUCACACUCACUCGCUAUCACAUAAUAAUGAGCUCUCAUGAAUAUCUAAUGAUUGCAAUGUGAUCUCAAGGGUUAUCCAUAACUCUUGAAUUUCCGCUGGCAAUUAUGGAGGCAUUAAUUGUAGCAAUUACAUGCCCCUUCAUCUCCUAUAAAAAAUUGUUGGUUUUGGGCCUCCUUUGGCUGCCCACUUAGCGAAGUUGGGCCAAGGACCUGGUCGGACUGAAUAACCACUAAAUCCCUAACAACGAGCUCAUGAACAACAUCAUAUGCUGAUAAACAACCUCAUUUUUCUUGUCGCUUUCUUCAAUCAUAUUUAUACGAUUACAAAAACAAUGCCAGCUGUGAAAUUUAAAUGUAAGGGAAUUACAAGAUCAGCAUGGAAGCAAUUUGAUGUUCUAAAUUAUUGCAAUUGAAUCAGAUUGUACAAAGAAUCAAUUUUUCACUUUGAAUCUGUUUCACUAUGUUUCAACUUAUGUACAAUCUCUGACCAUAAUCUGGGCAGGAAAUAAUAUGUGAAUGUGUUAGAUCUGUCAUGGAAUAUAAUACAUGGGAUUCGGGAGUUUAAAGGAGCGAUUGCUCAGCGACGAACCCAAUAAGUCACUCCACUGAUCCCCGGAAUUCCCGAGAAUUCUAUAACCAUCUACUUCCAUCUCACGCCUUUUCUCUGAUUUGAACAUAGUCGCAGGUUUCCCCCGAUCAUCCGGACCCCUGUAGAUAUUACCGAGCUUUUACUGUUAGCUACAAGAGCCAAAUGUGCUGCAGCUUAUAAGGCAUUAAGAAAAAUUAUAAUAACAACCGAGGUAUUACAUAAAGGGAGAUCACUCAAUCAGAAAACUCUCAAGAACAAAGACCCUCAAACAAAUUCAGCAAACACCUUCGUGUCCAAAUACUUGGACACUGAGCGUACCAGUUGUUGGCUUUUUAUUUGCUUACAAAUUUGAAUGAAUAGUCGCCAAAUUAGAAGUUUAUUGAAAACAAAUUACAAACAAGAUAUGCCAAAUUUAUACUAGACUUUUUAAGGAAAUUAUUUGAAUUUUUGCAUUGUGGAGAUUGUUCAAAGGACAAGAAAAAGUGCCAAAGCAGGGCGAAUGUUCAACAUUCCUUUUCUUUCUUUUUUCUUUUCAGUGUUUUUUUCAUUCUUUUAAAUAAGUACAAUGUAUUGCAUUCUUUUAGAUGUAGUAUAUUGGCAAUUAAUACAUAUUUGAAAAAUCAACAUUUUGGUCACAAUUGAACUGAAAGAGAAAAAUCUCUAAUUAGAAAAAUAAUUAGAAUUUGUCUAUCAUCACAUCAAUCAUUUCAUAAAUAGCUACAAGAAAAUGGAAAAAUUAAGUUAUACUUUUGAUUUGGGGAUGAAUUUUAAAGGCCAGAAAAGGGAAAAAAGAUCCUCAGAAAAUCAACAAGGACAACAUAAAGGAAUCAUGCGAAGAUCAAUAAUUCAACUCGAAAAGAUUUGUACAGAACUAAAUAAUGCCUAUUUCAGGUAUUAAGAUAUUAUUGAAUAGACUUUGCAGGUCAUCAAUGUAAGGUGUAAACUAUUGCAGAUAUAUGAAAAUAAGUAACAACAAUGAAUGGAUGAAGCACUCUCAAAAUAAAUGCCAACUAAUUCUCAUGUUUUUCCGGCACAAUUUCUUUCUUCCUAUCACACACAGUGAUACAUAUUAGCAUGUCUCUUUCUCUUCACAUGUUUCCUUGUAAGAAUUUUGCCUCUUCCCAUAAGCCAUCAGUACAGGAAGCCACAUAUAUAUCUAGGUGCUUUCUAACUCAAGAAUAAGUUCUUGCAGUUAAUACUACAUUUUUCAGUCCACUUGACACAUCACUCUACUCUUUAUGUUACCACAUGUUAUUAUAUAAACUUAAGCAGCCUGAGAAAGUAACAGUUUAUACACAUACUGCUUCAUAAACUUAAGGAACCUACAAAACUAGCACACCGUAGUUUACAUUAUCAUGCAAGCACAAACAGACAGAAUCGACACCUCUAGACAGAUCCAAAACUAAAAUAAUCAUACAAACUGUAAAAAUGGAAUAUAGGAUGUGUACCUCUCCUUUAUUUAUUAAAUUUUAUCUAAUUAUGAUUUAGAACUAAUUAUUUUAUUAUGCAUUAAUUGAGCGGAGAUUUUAUGCGUAUAAUUAGUUUAAAAUGAUGUGAAAUUUGAGCAUCAAUAUUUGGUUAUGGAUGGGCCAUAUGUUUGAAGUUCCAAAUAAAACGGAUUGGCGGGUGAGUAAUUGACACAAUUUUAAAUCAAAACAGCCUAAGUCCUAAGAAUUCAUCAUAAAUUGCAACAGAGAGACAUGUUUGGAUCAUAAAUUGCAGCAGAGAGACAUAUAACCAAACAGCAGAAUCAUAGAAGUUUACUUAUAUGAGGUUUUAAUGCUUGGUAUGCAUAUUAUCUGUCCGGAACUGUUCAGUUAUAACUUGAUAACAUCAGAAUCCUAGAAGUUUACUUAAACUUAUAGAACGCUUACUUCAAAGAUAUUCUAGAUGUUAUACAAUUUGUUUUUAAUAUCAUAAGUGCAAGCUUUCUUGACAGGACCAUAAUUUAUCACUAAGAUCAAAGAAACUUCCUGCCUUUUCACACUUCUCAAUGCUUACAGCAAUCGGAGAGAACUUACUAGUUGUGGACAUUCCUAGAGAAUAUUUAAUAUUAUUUUGUUCACAGGAGUGAAACAAUCAUCAUUUACUGCUUAAUAUUUGAUGAAUUAGAGGAACAGACAAUGAACACGAGGAAGCAAACUUCGCAGAAAUAGGUGUAACAACAAAAUGAUGAAUAGAUACAACUGUACAGACAGCUUCAAAAAGUUGUAGUAUAAGGUAUUAACUUACCUUCAUAAAAGAUUGAAGAACAUUGAACAAAAUUUCAUCAGCAAAUAGUUCUACACUACACAGAUUUAUCUUCAUAAGGGGCAUUGCAAGAAGUACCUUAAUAUAAGCCUGUCCCAAUCUUGAAACCCGACUUUCUUCAGGUUCUCCACCGUAAAAGUCCUAUGGCCUUCACUUCGCCCUGUUAGCAAGAAAACCUUAAAACCCAGUGCUCUGACUUCUUCAUACAGCUUCAGGCUGGACUGAAUAGCUGGAGCUAUUGACUUCUCUACCCAUUUGUCAAACUCAUGCGCAUCAAAAAGCUCAUGUCUGCAAUUUCUCAGAAACAAAAUGAAUCAUCAUAACCCAAAAGACAAUUUUAAGAAAAAAUUAGAAAGGAUAAAAAGAUUAGUGGUGUUGCAUCUCCCUCUCUCUCUCUCUCUCUCUCUCUCUCUCUCUCUCUCAAUGCUCCUAUGAUGUUUAACAAUAUCGAUUUCCUAAUUAAUUAACCUAGUACACUUUAGCCUCUUUGCACCCAGAUUGGAUUGGACAAUAUGAGACGAGAAAGCAACGUUGGAAAGGGACUGUUUACAAACUUCAAGGUAUCAAGAAUCAUGACAGGUAGUUGGUGGGGUCUGGUUGAAUAUACCAGAUAUUUCCAAUCAAAUCCUGAUCGAUUACACCCUUUCAAGUGGGAUUUAAUACUGCCGUCCUCCAAUAUCGCCUUCUCAUGUUAUCUUGUCCAUCCAACCCUCGUUGUCAAACUGACCCUCUUGGAAAUAAAUGUGCCAUGAAGAACAUAUGAAUAGAAACAACAUUAGAGGGGCGUGAUCACAAUAUGAUUUUGAAGUCAUUAUGAAGUGAAUAAGUGGAACCACUGGGGAAAUUUGCCAUGCAUAUCAAAACUAUUUCAAAUUAGAUCCACUCUUCUGUAAAAUUAGAAGCUUGCAGUAAUAUUCUCUUCCCUGGACAGUACACAGGAAAGGGAUUGAAACAAGUGCCGCGGCCGAUUGGCCAUAUCCUCAAGCCAAAAAUGCUACAUACUUAUAUCCCUAACCAUUGUCCACAUCACUAUUAAACGGAAGCAAAAUACCAUCAGUGGAAAAUAAAGCUACAGCAAGUAUCCAACAAAUUUGCGAAAGCUUCUUUCCAGCAAUCACACACCUGUAAAAUCAGCUGAUGUGGCAAAAUUGCAACCAUCAAAACUGAGAUAUAUCUAGAUACCUAUUCUUCAUGAAUGUUCUCAUAUUAAUGUAGUGAUUAUGUUAAUUUAGAUUUUUUUUUUUUUUUGAUUUUUUUCUCAACACAAGUUCUAUAUGAUUGGAUGAAUUGGUGGUUAAAUUUCUCUAUUCUUAUCAUUAUUGGUUAGCUUGCAAUGUGCAUCAGCUAAAUAUAGUAAGAUAUCUUCUAUAAAUAAUAAAUAAAGAAACGGUAAGAAAAGUUACUUCUAAGUUUUUGUGUUUCAUAAGCAGUGAAAUUUCGGGGGUACAGAUUGCGAGAAAUCCACCAUUAUAAACAUAAGAACUUUGUCAUGCCCACACACAGUUCCGCACAUAUAAAAUCAUAGCAUUCGUGCAAUUCAUGUGAGAACCCAGAUAGUCCUAUAUAUAAAAUAUAAUAAAGUUAAAACUCUUAAUCCGGUCAUAGCAUUUUGGACAGUGGUUAGACCCAAAAAAUUAAAGGAGUUAAGCGUGUUAGAUCUAGAGUGGUCUUAGAAUAGGUGACCCCUGAAAAGUGGGGCGUCACCCGGCUAUGAUAUUUUAGACGAUGACUAGACCCAAAAGAUUAAGAAAAUUAAGCAGGACUACAAUAGUCUAGGAUGGGUGACCCAUUUUUUAAUAGGGCUAAAUCUCUUAACCCAACUAUAGUAGUUUAGAUAGUGGUUAGCCCCAGGAGGUUAAAAAAAUUAAACGUGUCAGAACUAGAGUAGUUCUAGAAUGAGUGUACUUUUUUGAAAAGUGGGGUGCCACAACAGGUACCUCCAAGUGUACCUUAGAAUAUUGCUGAUGACAUAGAAAGGUCAUUAUUAAUUGCACUCUAACUAUUACUUACUAAACCUCAAACAUUAUUAUUAAAUCCUAAGCACCAUCAUUAUACCCUUAUCUCUAAACCAUACACCCUAACCCUCCACAUGGGUUGCCCAAAAAUGGGGUACCCCAAACAUUUCUCUUAUUUAAAUUUGUUGAUGCAUAUCUAACCCAAAAGGGAAAGAACUUAUGCUAUGGAUUAGUUUUGAAACUUACGCGUUCGUCGAUAAUUAGAAGAUGGAUUCCAAUUCAUAAACUACUAGCUUAAAGAAAUAAUAAUAAUAAUAAUCCCUUUUGGCUCAUGACAACAUAUUAAGCAGGACUAAAAUAGUCUAGGAUGGGCGACCCAUGAAAAAUGGGACAUCACAAUUUAAAGAGCUACCGGGACAUUCACGCGUAUAAAACUGAAAAUCUCACCCAUAGCCAUGAUCUGCAUAGUAGGGGAGGUUGGAGAGCAGCGUCUCGUCGACGUCAAAAACCCAGACAUCCAUCCCAUCCCCGGCCAGCCGGACCGAGCGGGCGUAGGCGGCGGCCGACUGCGCGACGAUCUCGAGGUCGGACUUGUACGCCCUGCCGGUCAUGAACUCCCUCACGUACCCGGCGCAAUCCGCGGGGACAGUCUUCCACGGCCCCAAGUUAUUCGCCUCCGCCGCGAACCGCCAGCUGCUGCACCGCAGCCGGCGGAGCUCCGCUGAUUCUUCUCCCUCUUCUUCUGCUUCGCCUCCGGCGGAUCCGGCGAUCGAGGGCUCGGUGCCGCCAUGGGAGGGUAGUUCGAGGAUGAGGGGUCUGGGGAGGAUGUGGGGAUCCUGGGAGGCGAUGGAGAAGAGGGGGAGGAACAGGAGGAAGAGGAGGAGGAGGGGUUUCAUGGUGGAGUAUGGGGGAUUGUUGGGAGGAUGGGGAUAAUUUAUUGAAGAGAGCGGAAAGACUCGGGGUUGGGCGGCGAUGGAGUGACGUGCGAGGAAAGCGAUAGGGGUAGGGGAGUCGGGGGCGAAAGGUCGCCACCAAAUUAAUUUGAAUCUGGGCGUCGCCCGGGCAGCGAUGCUUCUAAUGCAAGUUUUAUAAGAAAAUAUUGCCUGCACCGGGUAUGUAUCGAUUUCUCAUGCACCACACCUCAAGAUAUGGAAUCUGCAUGUGAAGCAAUCAAAAUUGAAAUAAUUGCUUUCUAUAUUCAUAGUUUGGUUGAGAUGAAAAAUAAAAAUAAAAAAAACAUAAAAAUUCACAGAAUUUAUCUUAACUAUAAAUUAUUUUUUAUUUGAUUAGUUUGAUUAGAAUCAAGUCAAUUGUACUUUCACUUUUAAAUUUGUAUUCAUUGUUUGUCUUUAUAGUUUUGGUUAGUAUAUUUUUAUAAUUCUCACAACUAUAAAUUUAUUUAAAAAAUUAAUUGCGUACAGCUCCCUGUAAACGUAUCGAAUAGCAAAUAUAUCCCACAGAGUUCAAUUUUUUAUUUUUAUCCGUGCAAAAUUAGACCAUACGAUCUCAUCUGUAUUUUCAAGACGAAUCCAAUGACACUUGAAUCGCAAAAUUUCGCCUACGAACAAAAAAUUAUGCCUCUUUUACGAAUCAGUCUCUAAAACUAAAACUGCUAUUUACAUAUUGGUCCCUGUCUUGAUCUUUUAAACCAUGGUAAGCACCCAAAUUUUGUUGCACCAAGUCCAACACCAGCAGCGUGCACCAGAAGUUUUUUUGGUUAGUUAUAGUUUAUUCGAUAGAGGCAAAACACUCUAAUUAUUAAAUUAAUCAUGUCUAAUAUCACUACGAUAAAUUAAAACACAAAUGUUAAAUAAAUUAUGUAAAAAUUAAUAUGGUCCACCGUGAACCGGGUCUAGCCAAAAUCCAAAAUAAUUAUAUUUUCUUUCUUCUCCUUCCUAACCUAAUCAAAAAAAUCUCUCCCAAACCCCUCUCAUGGUCAACCAUAAUCACUCCAUAAAGGAUUCACCUCAACCCGAUCGUAGAUGACCGGCGAUGGUGACGGUGAUGGCAGUCCAAAGAGGAGGGAGGAUAAGAUUAGGAGGUAGAAGAAGAGAGAAAAGAAAAAACAAGAGAAUUAAAUAUUGGAGACUCACCUCGCUCUCGCUUUUUUUUUCCUCACGAUCGUUGAAUCUUCCUCCAACCGGUGGUCAUGCUCGCACAAAAAAUCCCACCAUAAUAUUUUAUAUUAUUUUUUAGCAGUAUAUCCUUUCUAAAUUAUCUAUUUGUAUGUAAUUAUGGCUAAAUCUAAAUCAUACUCUAAUUAGUACGAAAUAUAGCUAAUCCGAAAAUCAAAUCCAAUCAAAUCGGCACAAAUAUAUCCAAAUCCAAAUUUAUAAUAACGAAUUUAUCAUAUGUAAUACACUGGAUCUUAGCAAAUUGCAAGAUUCGAGUGUUUUAUUGGUGUGUGGGGCCUCUCCACAGUUUCUGGAGGGUCGUUGAUAGUGUUCCGACCCCUGGCACGCACCCCGAGGAUGUUGGUUUGAAGCUUGGUACCAAAAUCCAAAAAUUGGAUUCAUUGGACAGCUCUCGGGUAGCCUGCAGCAGGGCUUGUACCGGAACAAGACUGGCCUUGUACCGGUACAAGGGUUGAUGGUUGUACCGGUACAGCCAUCGGGCUUGUACCGGUACAGAGCCGCAGACCGCGCGACCCGAGCCUCGGGUUUGCAAUUUCGUCGGCCUUGUACCGGUACAAGAGCCCGUGUACCGGUACAAGGAGGCAGUUUUUGCUGCAGUUUGAGUACUGCAGGGGUUUUUCGCGAUUGUAGCCUAUCUAUUAGUAACCUCUACGCCCGCUUAGGGCUUCCUGAGCUUCUCAGCAGCAGGAGAAGAGGUAGGGGAGUUCUCCACACCCUCCUCUCUAUUUCUUUGAUUUUGUUGGUUUUAUUUGUGAUUUAAGCCUCUCUUUUCCCUUUUUGCUAUUCCUCAUGGUUGUAGCCAGGCUUGGAUUGGAGCUUUGUGGAAAGGAGAUCUUGGGACUUAAGAUAGUUUAGAGCUUGAUUAUGAAGCUUCUAAGAGGUAAGGAACAUUGUCUCUCCCUCUUAGCAUUCGAGUUUUAGGAUUUUGAGAUGAAACCCUAGACUUUGUGAUAUUGGGUUUAUUUUGGCCAAUUUGAAUCUAGGGCAUUUUGAAGCUAGAUUUGAUUGGAUUAGAGGGCUUCCAUUAGGUUGGAUUGGGAUGACCUAGCUUCAUUUUGAGCUUUAGAGGAGAUUUUGACUAGAGGUAGUUGUCUCCCCCCACUCAUGUCUUGAUUACUUAAUGUUUGACUAGGAUUCUGUUUGUUUGCCCGUAUGACACAUGUUCUGUUAGCCUCUCAGGAUACUAGGAGACACUAGAGGACACCACUCGUUGUGAGCGCACGCAGGUUCGCUUGCCAUCGGUGGGUUUGGCUUCCUUGAAAAUUGGAGGAAAAUUCCUCCUAAGUGGUUAAAUGCUUUCAUGCUCCUUAAAUUCAUGCAUAUUCAUGUUGUAGUAACAUUUAUGAGAGUUUUGAAUGCUUAGCAAACUCAUAUGUGUGCAUCAAGAAAAUUACUCUAUGUAAGUAGAGAGAGAGAGACAAUGUGCUUUGUUAAUAUGCAUGCGACAAAUAUUUUAUGAGAUGAUAGGAAAUCAAGUUUCAUGCUUCGGUUUGACUAGAAUUGUAAGUUCUUGAACUUAGUAUCCAUGUUGGACAAAAUGAGCCAUAGUGUCAUAAAGAGGCCUUGGACUAGAGAAUUAUUAAACUCAACAUAGAGACUUGAGAAUAGGCCACAUUACAUCAACUAUAUUCCAUAUUGAGAUAUGAUGAAAUAGUGACUUGGCACGAGACAUUUACUAUAUAUACCAUGUUAUUGGACAUGAGGGCUUGGUACUUGCGACUGAUCGUUUGACUACUUGCCAUUGUGCUCAUUCGCACAUGCUUGUGAGGGUCGCUCCCUACAAGCCGGCACUCCGGAGAUGGCCAUCUCGAUACAUAUUCGCAGUGCGAGGAUUGGGCGCCGAAGUGGAUUGCCGUGGGCCAGGCUCAUUCCUGGGGUGGGGAUGAUGACUACCACGGGGCCAUUAGGCGCACCGGGCCAGGACAGCCUACGGGUGGGUCUCAGGGCCUUAGACAGCCUUCGGGUGGGUCUCUUCAGAUUUGACUUUGAGCAUUUACUAUGACAUAUGGACAGAUGAUGACUUAGUGUACUGACUGGAAUUUGACUAGAAUAGUAAACAUUGGCACUUUACUAUUUUGCAUUAUGGACAUCAUGAUAGUUGGAAACUUUUACUACAUACAUAGUUGCUUUCAUACUUAUGCUUUUCAUGCUAAGUAGAAAUAUCAUGUUGUAGUAAGUUGCAUUCUACUUACCUUUCGCUUUCUAACGUUCAUAGACACUGACCCUUUCCUUGUAGCUUGGGCCUUGUGGUGCAUUCACUGAAGUCAGUAAUUGCCCACUGGGAACUAUUUUAAUAGUUCUCACGCCCCUGUUUCUAGGUUUACUUUUCAGAGCCUUCGGCACCGGCGGAGGCACGGGAUCGCGGCAAGGGGAUCGCUUAGCUAGCUAGCGAGGAGCGGUACUUUGCCUAGGUGGUUUACUCUUUCUUUUUGUAGUUGAGAGAGAGUGAGAGAUUUUGUAUCCAUGUAUAGAGACCACCUAUGUACCUACUUAUAGCUCUUGUAUUUGGGAUUUCCUAUUGUUCUUACUCUAUGUUUUAUUUAGUGGAUUUACAGUUUUAACUUUAUCCCUUGUUGUAGCAAUUAGACAUUUACUAUGCUCUGAUACUCCUAGAUGCCUUUUAUUAUUGCUUUUAUUAUUGUUGUUAGACGCCUUAUGCGUUUUAGACGCAUGGCGGGUCUGGGCACGUGCCGGGCGGGCUUCCGCUGGGUCCCGGGGCGUGACAUCAUAAAACUACAAUCACGUCACGUCUGUAUAUUUAAAUUUUUAUUUAAAUUAAUUGAGUGCUGGGUAUUACAAAAAAUACUUUAAUUGGUUUAGAUUCUGUCGGUUGGAUUGGAUUUUUUAUUCAUUGAUCAUCAAAAGCUGAGUACGGUGCACAAGAGAUGCUCAUACAUCAGGUAAUAAUUUCUGAUAUGAAUACUCCAUCUUGGAUCUCUUCACCACUAAAUUUUCUUUAUUGUUUUUUGUUAUUAUAGGUACAUUGCCUCGUGUAGUCGAGAUAAUAAUAUUAAUUAAAUUACAUGUGUGAUAAAUAAUAAUAUUUUUUUUUUGUUAUUAUAGCUGACUCUUUAAUUUAACAUGUGUGAUAAAUUUAUCUUAUUAUAUUAUUGUAAUAUGAAACUGGUAGCCGAGAUAAUAAUAUUAAUUAAAAACAUGCUUUUGUCCUUUCACUUAUUAGAGUAUAACUUCUAAUGCAAGUUUAAAACAAAUUUUGUUUUUCUUUUACUAGGCAUUGCGCGUUGCUUUUCAUGUAUUAACUAGGUAAGGAACCCAUGCUAUCCAACGAAUUCAUUUAUCUUCUUUACAAAUAAUUAAUGAAUAAUUAAAUAUUUUUUUAUAAAGUAAAUAAUAAUAUAUUUUAGUUAAUUAAAUAAGAAAGUUUUAAAGACAUUUUCACAUGCGAUUAAUUAUAUCAAAUAUGCAAGUUUUGAUUAUAAACANUUUCAUGUAUUAACUAGGUAAGGAACCCAUGCUAUCCAACGAAUUCAUUUAUCUUCUUUACAAAUAAUUAAUGAAUAAUUAAAUAUUUUUUUAUAAAGUAAAUAAUAAUAUAUUUUAGUUAAUUAAAUAAGAAAGUUUUAAAGACAUUUUCACAUGCGAUUAAUUAUAUAAAAUAUGCAAGUUUUGAUUAUAAACAAUAAUGCUAAUAUUAACACCCGUUCGGGUCAGAUUGUAAAUUCAUAAGUUUGUGUUUUAAUUAUAAUAAAACCUUAAAAUAUAUUCGCGGAAACAAAUCGUAACAACUAUCGACGUCAUAACAGCAGCUAAAUCAGACGCUAAACAUCAAAAGCAUGCAAUCAAUACACAACACAAUCUAGCAGAAAAUAAAUAAACAAGGAGCAUCUAGUUAUAUAUUACCUUAUAAGCUAGUAAACCAUCAGCCAACAUAGAAGCAACAAAAGAACUCCCACAUUUCGACACCGCCAUUUCGCCAAAAAGAAAAUAAACAGGCAUAAACAAAGAGCAGCUAGUUAGCACACAGCGUCGUAAACAUCGCAAGCAAAUUAACAACGGCAAAAUAGGCGCACCUUUUUUUCGGACAAGGAACAGAGCCAACCCGCCUAGCAACACGGCAAACAACGUAUACCCAGAUGUAGCAAGAAGCAGAGGACGGAAAAGAGAUCAGUAUACAUGAAGGGAAUAAAAUGGCCAAUAAAAAUCAAGGGGGGUUGGAUAAAACGGCUCUUCCACACCUUACGAUACCAGCUGCGGCAAACUAAAGCAACAAAGCCAACAGAACAACCAAGCGCUAACCAAAGAGAAGAGUAAAGAAGCAAACAAGUAAGAAGGAGACCAAGAGCAGAGAUGCUAUUUAUAGCAAAAUCAGGCAUUGCAAUAAGAGGGAGGAGAUCAGUUUAAGGGGAAAACGGGGGAAAAAAUGAGAAACCCCAGGGUCAAAUCGAGAGCCCAUACACCCUAUCAAAUCCGGCCAAAUCGCCACAGCCAUCUACACCGACGAACGCAUUCCACGCCGCCCCGGCGAGUUGCUGGAGGCCACGUCGUGGAGGAGGAAAAAUUAGGCAUUUCAAUAAGCAUGGAGGAGAUCAGUUUAAAAGGGAAAAAAAGAUCCCUGUCAAAUCCGCCCAAAUCCUCACAGCCAUCUACACCAUCGCGCGCAUCUUACGCCCGCCCGGCGAGUUGCUGGAGUCCACGUCGUAGCGUAGGCCCGCCACCACACGCAACAAAAGAGAAGGGGCUAAGAUCGUACACACCACCCCCGCCAUGCCACGGCGGAGAUAGCGAUAGGCCCACUACGCAAUCGUCCUGGCAAACACAGGAGUAACGGCGGCUGGCCAUGUCGACGACGGAGAAGGAGAGGGCGAACCGAAGCGGCAUGAAAAAUCGAUACGGCAGAACCCCUAACGGGGUAAGUUUCGCAUUGAUGGCCGCAUUAAUGGCCGAAAAGAAGCCCGCGCGCUGCAGAGAUAAGCUUCUCUCUCUCUCAGGCGGUCCCUAUAAAUAAAUAAAUCCUCCGGUUCACUGCUCUCUCUCUUAGGUGGUCCACAAUGUGAAGCCCACCUCGUGGACUGCGUGCACAGAGGGCAAGUGAGCCCUGCUUUUUUCACUGUAGCAUUUUCCUAUAAAUAAAUAAAUCCUCCAGUUCCUUGCUCUCUCUCUCAGGUGGUCCACAAGGUUAGGCCCACCUCGUGGACCGCGCGCACAAAGGGCAAGUGAGCCCCGCCUUUUUCACUGUAGCAUUUCUCUUUCGGGUGGGCCCCGCUAGUUCCGUGGGAUGCGGAGAGGCUAUAUUAUAUAAAUAAAUUUAAAUACAUUAUGUAUAUAUAUACUUUAUUCGAGUUCGAGGUUGGGUUCGGGUCAGGGUCAGAUUUGAAUCAGGUAAAUAGUAAAUCCAUACUCACAUAGUCACAUCUAUAUCUGUCGGGUUUUAAAUUUCUACCUAUUUUGCUCAGGUAAACCUGGCCCGUUCCGAUUUAGAUUCGGAUAAUAUUUCGGGUGUCUAUACCCAUUGACAUGCCCAUAAAAUUACGAAAAAUAUAUAAAAUAUACUAACUAAACAUGUAAAAUAAUUAAAUAAAAGGAUAAAAUAAAAAAAUAAAACUCAAGUACAUUUCUUUCAAAAAAAUAUUUAAAUCCAAAAAAAAAAUUUCGGCAGAAAAAAAAAAAACAUGUAGAGUUUUAACAUAGAGUUAGAAAGAGGGAAAUAAAAAAAAAAUGUGGAGUGUACCGAUUUAUAUAUGUUCUCGAAAGAAAAGCGAAAAGUAUACAAAAUUUAAGAAUCAAAAUCGACGUUAAAAAAAAGGUUAAAUAACCGAUGAUAUACCAAUUUCGCUAAUCCUUAAAUUUUUUUUUAACAACUAUUGUAACUUUAUAAUAAAAAAAAUGAAUUGCAUUUUAAAAAUACUUCUACAACAGAGAAAGAAAAAACAAAAAAACCCAACAAAACCCUAACCCCCGCCCGCAGCACGCCCGCUAGCGCAGCUCGCGCGCGCCGUCCGCGGCCCGCGCCCGAGUGCUCCCUCGCAGUCGCCCCACCCUGCCCCCUCCUCGCUGCCACGUGGCGUGUUAGGGUGCUUCGUUCCGAUUCAUAAGUUUACUAGUUAAGGAACCCGUGCUACGCAACGGUCAUUUAUCUUUUUUAUAAAUAAUUAAUAAAUAAUUAAAUAUAUUUUGUAUAAAGUAAAUAACAAUAUAUUUUAAUUAAUUAAAUAAGAAAGUUUUAGAUAUAUUUUCACAUGCGAUCAAUUGUAUCAGAUAUACAAAUUUUGAUUACAAACAUAAUACUGAUCUUAACACCCGUUCGGUUAAGAUGGUAAAUUCAUAAGUUAUUUUUUAAUUAUAAUAAAACUUUAAAAUAUAUAAUUAUUUAUGCUAAUUUUUAAAUAUUUUAGAUUAUAUGUAUUAAAUAUUAAUUUUAAUUUUAUAAUUAUUUAGAUAUAAAUAAUCCAUUUUAUAAAAAACACUACAAUUAAGUUUUUUAAAAAUAUAUUUAAUUACAAUCUAAUUAUAUAAAAUAUACUAACUAAAUAUAUAAAGCUAAGCAACACAUUCAAAAUUAUUAAUAAUAAAUUUAAAUUUUUAAAAUUUAAAUUUAAAUUUAAUUUAUUUUUGUAUGGUGGUAAUACACUCUAAAAUAAGAAGGGUUAAAAAAAAAAGAAAAAAAAAUCAAAAGAGAGAGAGAGAUAGGAAUGGGUCUAAAAUAAAUAAAUCAGUUUAAAAUAAAUAAAAAUCUCAUUGUAAUAUUAAAAAAUACAUAAUAUUUUUUAUUAUUAUUUGUGUAGAAUUUACAAAUAAAAAAAAACAGCGCCGCGCUCGCGCCCCUCGAGCCCGCCGCCACGUGUCGAUCCAGAAAUUCUCGGGUUUUCAAUUCAUAAGUUUAAUUAAUUAAUAUUACUAAAUUAUAUUAAAUAAUAUUAUAAAUUAUAAAUAAAUAAAUAUAAAUAAAGUGAGAGAAAAAAUUUAAAAAAAUUGUAAAGUGUGUGAGAGAGAGAGAAAUAAAGUGAGAAAUUUUUUUUUAAAAAAGUAAAGUGUGUGAGAGAGAGUGAGAGAAAGAAACAAAAAAAAAAAAAAAAAAAAGUGGGACCCACAGGGACCCCCAACCCGGGGAGCCCUGGUUUCCCCUCCUCCUCGGUGCCCGCCACGUGGCGCCCUGUGAUGCAGUGAUGUGAUCUAGUUCUCAAAUAAUAAGUUUAUAAAUAUAGAUUAGAAUAUAUUAUAAUUUAUUUUUUUAUUUAAUUAGAAUAUUAAUAAAUUUAUUUAAUAAAAAAUAAGGGAUAAUUGCCCAUAUACCCCUCAAAACUUCAGAAAUAUCUCACAUACCCCUAUUUUUUUUUCUUUUUAAUAUAUCCCUCGUAUGUUUUUCCGUUAUUUCAAAAUACUUUUGUAGUUACCGCCCGUUAAAUUAACUUGGGUUAAACAUGAGUUAAAUAUCUACUAGAGUUAAAAAAAUCAAAGUAUCUCUUUUGUCCUUAAUUUAGGGGCAAAUAAAAAUGUUGGUGAUGAUAGAAGAAUAUAUUUGAAAAAAUCAAAAAUCAAAAUACUUUUUGUAUCUCUAACUUAAGGGCAAAUAAGAAAAGUCAAUAAUUGUGGAAGGAUAUAUUUGAAAGGGUAUAAUAGUAAUUUCAUACAGAUAACAGAUAUUGCUAACAGUUCAUUAACAGAAUUAAACUCUAUAGAGUAUACAAUUACUAAAUUGAAACUAUUACAUUUUGAAAUUUUUUCAAAGUUUACAACAUUUUGAAUUUCCAAAAUAUUACAUGAUUUAUGCUUUUACAAAAUGAUAUAUACCAACUAGACCGACUCACACUGAUCCGGUUAGUUUGCAAGGCUCUUGCCACAGUCCUGUAACUCACCGACGGUGGAAGACUCUAAAAAAAAGCUCAACUACAAUAGGGUGAGAACUUGAAAUACGUUUCAAGUAGGUGCAACAAUCGAAAAUGGCAUUUCUACACUCACUCAAUCCAAAAGAGGCAUUAAUAGGACAAUAGUAGUGAAUAAAAUAUCUAUUUCUAUAAUAAAAAUGCAAAUAAGACAAAGCUAUUAUGCCUCAAAUAUAAAUAAUACUAGCACAGUAACCCGUGUGAUGCAUCGAGUAUUUAUUUUACUUUUAGAAAACUAAUUAAUCUGAAAGAAUUGUUAAGAUUCUUUGAAAACCUGCAAGCAAAAUAGAAAAUGCACAUCAGUAUAGAACUGAUAAAAUUAGGAUACAUAAGCAAAAAACCCAAGUUUAAGCUAAAAAAAAUACUGAUAAAAAUAGAAUAAGCAUAAUAACCCAUCAAAGCAAAAUGUAACCUUUCUAUUCACCAAAGUGAUGAUUCAUAAUAACCUAUCAAGGCAAGCUAUGGUACCAACCUACCAGAGCAGCAAGCUAUCACUAGAACAGGUAAGGCUCAAUCCGGUUAGCCAUCAAAAUUUUUUACCAUCCCGCAACCGAAAAAAUAACCAACUAUUGUUACUACCCGCACGCUGCAACAAUGACCAAUAGGCCAAUCAAGUUGCCGCACCUUCUUAGGCCAUAGGCCAAAAUCAUUAUUGCCUCAAAAGAAAGAAAAGAGAGGAAAAAUAGUAGAGUGAGGCUACUAUGCUAUCGGAAGCACGGAGCCUUCCGUGCUUCCAGCUCGUUUUCGAUGUUGUGACUUUCGAAUCACCGAUCGGCUCCGUUAAACUUGAUCUAGAGUAUUUGGAGUACCUAGAAAAUAAAUUUUAUUAUUUUUCAAUAUCAUUUGCCUAGUGAUCGAAUGAGCUCAAAAUCAACAAAUUUCAAUGGCCGUAGUGAGCCGUUUGCAAGUUUAACGGUGUAGAAAUAUCCAAAUCACGUGAAAUUUUGAUAGAAAAUUCUUUAUACUAUAUAAAACAAGAUCAAUAUCUUUGAUUUAAAAUUUUAAUGUCAUAUUAUUACAUUUUGUAAGAUUUUUAUUUUUAGCCGUUGAUUUUGAGCUCAUUCGAUCACUAGGCAAAUGAUAUCGAAAAAUAAUAAAAUUUAUUUUCUAGGUACUCCAAAUACUCUAGAUCAAGUUUAACGGAGCCGAUCGACGAUUCAAAAGUCGCAACAUCAAAAACGAGCUGGAAGCACGGAAGGCUCCGUGCUUCCGAUAGCAUAGUAGCCUCACUCAAAAUAGUAUGCUCCUCUAGCAGCAUCAAAUAAAAAAAGAGCUUUUUUUGCAAAUAGCCCCAUAAAAAAUUUUAUUUUCGAAAAUAGCCCUGUGUAAAAAUUAUUUGCAAAAAUGGCCCUUGUCCCGCCCUGUCAGCGCCACGUCAGCGCCACGCGGGCGGGGCUGGGCCAAUUGUAUAAGUUGAACACGGUGAAUCAUUCACCGUAUUCAAUACAAGAUUUUUGUAUUGGACACGGUGAAUGGUUCACCGUGUCCAAUACAAAUACAUUCGACUUAGCCAAAAAUGGCUAAGUUGUGGGUCUUUGUAUUGGACACGGUGAACCAUUCACCGUAUCCAAUUAUUUGUAUUGGACACGGUGAAUGAUUCAACGUGUCCAAUACAAAUAUAUCCCACUUAGUCAUUUUGUAUUGGACACGGUGAACCAUUCACCGUGUCCAAUACAAAAAUUUUGUAUUGAACACGGUGAAUGGUUCACCGUGUUCAAUAUAAACACUUGGCCCAGCCCCGCCCGCGUGGCGCUGACGUGGCGCUGACGGGGCGGGGCCAGGGCCAUUUUUGCAAAUAAUUUUUACACAAGGCCAAUUUUAAAAAAAAAAAUUAUCAGGGGGCUAUUUGCAAAAAAACCCCAUAAAAAAAGGACCUUGAAACGAACUUAAAAUGGAGAAAGAGAGGGCAGCACUUUUGACCUUCCAUUCCUCCGAAAGAAGACCACCUUGGAGUUAAUGCCCUUUUGGCCAAGCUACUGCUACGCUUUCUGCUGCGGCUAUCUUUAGAAAAGCAUUAAGCGCAAAUUUAAAAGCUUUUGUUCAGUUGGAAGCUGGAUUGAGAGAAACAUCAUCUAUUUCCUUCCCCUUUUCUUUUCUUUUCUUUUCGUUCUUUUUGAGGGGAAUUGCAGGCAUGGUGUUAGUGCCCUUCUGAACUGCACUAAAAUAGCACUCUAUGCAGCACAGCAACACCCAACAAUAGCCUAAACACUUCAAUAGUCUUCAAUGUACCGCUCAUUUCGUUUGGCCUAUUUGCACUGAAGAGCUUCUACAUAAAUACAACAUUAGUAGUAGCCAAAAAGCCACUAAUAGCACAAUAAGGGCAUGUUUGAUUCAAAAUAGAAAUCUCCUAAUUUGGAAUAUGAAUGGGAAUAGAUCAGAAUUAAAAAAAAAAAAAAAAAGAAAGAUGAAAACUCAUAAUUUGUUGGUUCAUAAGAGGAAUGGAAUCAAAAUCAUGUUCAAAUUGAAACAAAAAAAAUUAAAUUUUAAAUAAAUUGUAAAUUUACUAUCCAAAUUUGUAAUCAAAAUUUGAAUCUAGAUUUGAACCCACAAUUUGAACUUAACACUUAAAUGUACAUUUCAAAUUCAAGUUCAAAAUCAAAUUCAAAUUUAGAACUAAAUUGAAGAUAAUAGAAUUCUAAUUUAAACUUAAAAAAUUUAAAAUUAAAAUUUUGAAUCGAUAUUCAAACUCAAAUUUAAAAUUAUAAUUUAGUCUACAAUUAAAUAUAGAUUAAUAUUUGAAUUUAAAAUUGUUAGUGAAAAAUAAGGUGUUCUUUUCUCAAUCUCUUUCUUAAUCGAAGUUAAUUCUCACCUCUAUGGUGGGAAUCAUUUUACGGCGAUUCAAUGCCCCCCGGAAUGGGAAUCAGAAUGCUAAUCUCUGAAACCAAGCAACAAUAAUAGGAAUGGAUCAUUCUAAUUCUCAUUUCAAGUCUCCAAUCCUUCAAAACAAAUAUAAGGAGCUCUUUAAAGGACAAAGUAUUGCCUUCACCUGGCCCAUCACAUCAAUUCAUGAAUCUUACCAGCUAAUGUAACAAAAAGAAAUUCUUUCUUUAACCUGGUCUGCCUCGCCUUCAGUAGAUUUGCUACUUAGCAAUGCCAACAAAACCAAAUGCACUUUCAUGAUUCUAAUAAAGGAGCCAAAAAUAUGACAAUUGUAGUAGAGCUAGGAAAAAGGCUUUAGUGCCAACAAUAACUGAAUAAUUAACAAUCCGCAAAACUAAAGAAAAAUUCAUGAAUAUCAAAAGAAAUCAAUAAAGGUAUGAAGUAACAAAGCUUGAAAACUAACUUCUAAAAGCCAAGACAAUAAGAACACCGAAAAUAAAAAUGACCCAAAAACAACAAACAUCAGCAGAAAUGUAGGUUAUCCUGAUAGUAAAGUGUAGGUUUUAAACUUCAGAAAGCAAAAUGCAAAUCAUGAUGUUUAUAAGGGUUUCUCGCACUUCAAUUCAAUAAUAUCUACUACAAAUAAAUCGCACUAAAGAAAACAUAGGCAGUAUAAAGAAAGGCUUAGGUUCACCUAAUCAAAUAGAAUCAAGAAUUUUCUCUCCCCUCCCCUCUAGUCCUCUAAAUCAAAUCCCUCGGGUAAGCAAAGAGGCGGUAUUAUCGUUAACACUCUUAUACUGACUUAUAUACGCAAGCACUUUGUGUUCUAAUUUUUUCAAAACUAUGAUAAUCAAGAUUCUAUACUUGUGACAAAUUAAUUACAUAAGGUUUUUUAUUGUUCACCAUUCUUUAACAACUUAGCUACUUAAAAACUGAUAUGUUAUGUUGUAGGAUAGGAAGAUUGACCAUACAUGACAAAACCAUCGACUUCUUACUAUUUACACAAUAGUUAAUUAAGUAGUACUACAUUAUUCGAGAAACUAAUUAUUGAAAUUAAGUGAAAAGAAUUCAAUCAUAGAUACUUCACUUCUAUUCUGAGAUUCACUUAAAUAAAAAAAUUGUAUAAGAAAAAGAUGCCAAUUCAAAUAAAAAGGCAUUUACAAUUUGAUACCUGAUUCCAUUGAAAGAUUGUUGUUAUUGAUUGAAGGACAGCUUUCCAUGAGAGUACUGCGCGGAUUUUUCUUGUGAUCAACCUAUGAAUUCCGAUUUGGAGUUAUAUUUCGAUAGAAUCCAUUGUGAAGUGAUGAAGCAUGUCAUGCAUGUUCAACAUCUGAUCAGUUCCCCAAUUCUUUCGUUGCCGCUAAAAAUGUUGAUGGAAUUUGGCAUUCAGCAUUAUUAAGAGAUUGUUCAUAGAAACAGCAACCUGUAGCAAUAGAAAAUGCUGACGAUUUGCAAAUUUGUUAGCAUAAAAAUACCUGCCGCCGCCCUCCUCUCCUCCUUCUUUGCUGCCGCCACGGCCAUCGCUCAUGUCCCUCACCUAUUCCACCACAGAUUUAACCACAGCUCUUACAGAAGUUGAUUUAGAAGUAAUUCAUUACUUUAUCACUGUCUAUAAUAUUAAUCCUUUAUAAAAUCUCAAAAUAAUGGAUAACAUAACCAUACAUAAACAAUUCUAUAGGAAAGUAAGAGGAGGGCUUCAAUUACUCAGCUAAAAUCAACAGAAAAUUUUGAAUUACAAUAAUAAAUUGUGAGUCCUAAUUUUUGUUCUAAUCAGAUUAGUCUGGAUUUUUUUUCUUUUUUUGAGGAAUUUGAAGUGAUCAACUAUAGAAGUAUAUAUAUUAGAUUAGGAGUUGAACUCUCGAAAACACAAAAUGAAUCUUUUGUUGGUGAAAUAUUUUAAGGCAAAAUUGAGUCCUUGUAUGAAAAAUAAUAAAGAGUUAAGAUUAUCCUAAUGAUUAAAUUGUUUAGAUAUUAAUAAAGUUAGUUUUACAAUUCAGAGAGAUUGAUUAACUUUAGCUAUUGAUCAAAUUUUGCUAUUAUUAUCUAAAUUAAAAUAAGAUUUAAUAAAAUUAAUCUGUUAAUGGAUGGCUUCUAUUAGAUCCGCGUGGCAAAACUCCUAGCUGAUAACAACAAGGAACCAAAACAACCGAAUUAGUAUAUGAAAAGUACUAGAUGGAUAACGUACCAAUUAAUUGGGAGCAACAUAUAUCUUAAUAUUUUGCAUUGAAAAACUCUUCAUACUUUCAUUACUCUUAUGUAGGGAUGAUCUCCACAAGCACGAUGACAUCUAUCAAGAAUUAUUAAGUACACUAUGUUCAAAGUCAGGAAGCAUGCUGCCACUUGACACUCUGCCAUUAAUUUCUCAUCGCCAUCCACCACGACGGCGGUGAAGAGGUGCUUCCGGAAGAGGUCGAUGAUGGCGAGGCAGCGAAGGCGAUCGUAACCUAUAAAAAAAGGCAAGGAGGGUGUCACGCCCCGGGGUCCCAUUUUGAUUUGAAAGUAAAGCGGAAGUGCCCAAAAUUCUUUUUUUGAAAACUUGACCCACAGGAUAUACCAGAUCCGCCACAAAUACAGGGCGUCCACUGUUCACACGGACAGAGUCUCCCCUGUAUUUGCACGGCGUCGCACAAGUACAAGAUACAAUAAACAGGAUACAACCACUACAUAUGAAUAUACAUACAUUCAUACAUUCAUACACCAUUCACAUACAGAUUCACAUUCAAAGUUAUAACCAUAAAUCCACAACUAUUACUUUGAAAUGUUUCCUACCCGGAAACGCGUUUUAAAACACUAAGUUAUGAAAACCAAGAAAACCCUUUAAAAACCGUUUCCCAUAAGGAAACCUUUUCUUUUUAAAACUUGCUACCACGAGGGGUAGAAAACCGUUUCCAUUUCACAGAAAUCCCGAAUUCAUUAUUACAUUCAUAAAACCGUAUGAAUUCAAAAGUAAUAUUCACUGAACCAAAUAAACUGUCUAAGUCAUUUAUUUAAAGAAGUUAGGUUAGAGAAUUAACCAACAACGGGACGGUGGCAAUAUUGGUCGCUAGACUAACACCUCAAGAAUAGUUCCACUAGGACCCGCGACGUCACUUGUAAUGGGGGUGGGGGGUGAGAACAUGUACACAUGUCUCCCCUCCCAGUGGGUACCGCAAGCCGACGAGGGCGAGGGGUACUCACCGGUCAAGGAGGAUAAACAACAAUAUGGGUAAGUGAAAUACAGUAGCAACAAUAAUAAAUGAACAGGAUGUAUAAAUGCGCAACUACCGCUACUAUAUGUAUGCAUCAACCGGACGACAAGUCCAAAAAUACCCAAUCUGAAACCCGUGCUCUAUUGGUCAGCACCGCAGACCUCAAACUAGUGCCACUGCCACUCUACCUGUAAAUAACCCAGUCCUAAACGCUGGGCUCACAGGUUGCAUAUAAUCCAGUUUUGACCGCUGGGCUCAUGGGCUGGCACAUCAAACCACUUUUCCGGAAAAGAAUACCCUCUUGUGGUGGAUCAGACCGCUGGUGUUCGUGAAAUGCGAACGAGUAUGUGGCGAUCUGUCACGCCCCAAUCCCCGCCAAUUUGGUCGGCUUCGGGUCACGUCAACAGACGCCGAACGGACAGAGCCUCCCCUGUCCGCCCCAGGCUCUAAUACAUGUAUAGUAAAGCAAUUAAAUAAUGAGAUUAGCAUUUAUACAAGGCUUGCGCGAGGGCAAGUAACAACGGAAGCGAAAGCUCUAAGCUAAUAUAUUCAACCAGACAUAAUACUUGAUUUCCUUUGAACCAAAUAAAAGUAAAUUACAACUAUUAUAUUCUUUUUCCAUUCAACAUAAUUCUUUACAUUUUAGCCAUCCAUCAGAAAUACAUGAUUGUUUACAACUUUACAUCUCUAAAUCAACAAAAGAAGUUGAUACAUGUAUACAAAAGGAAUGACUACAAAAUGCAUAAGUUUUGGUGGCCACUAGCUAUGGCGCUAAACCCUUGCCUCGGUCCUCCGCCGCCCCGCUCGUGCUAGGACAGUGGUGUGAGAACUACAACGAAGUUCCUAGUGGGCUCGACAACCGACCUCGCCGACUUGCCCACUAGGUCUAUCCAGGCAUAAGUAUUUCAACGGAAAGAAGGUAACCAAUACUAAUGCAACUAAUACUAUGCCUGUAAGAAAACUGUUAGUGGAUACAUACAAUCGAAUAAUGAAUGCUCAUGCAUGCAUGCUCGUUUCAUACUUUACUUUGGCUUUUUACCCAAUCUUUCUGGUUAACCUUGUUAAUCCCAACAACUCACAACUCGAAAUCCCUUAAUAACGGGGGACUCGAACCACCCUAGGGGCCGUCCUCUGGGGGGACUUUACCACGCCCAGUAGUGACCAACUCCGGAGCGCACCGCUCGAGGGGGAGCUACCUCCCUCAAGCCAAGACUUAUCGUGAGUAUCGAUCCAACCCUCAACUUGAGGAUACAUAGCCACUAGUCAUAAUGUCAUUGUCUUAAUAGGUUUCUACCUAUUUGUUCAUGCUACUUUCCAAGUCAUACUUAUUACAAUGUCAAUAUGGUUAAACUAUGUUUAACAACCAAAUUCUCAAGGCCAAACAUGUCUCUAUUGUCGAUGUUACCUUUGUUUACUAUUGUCCAAGUCCAAAUCUCACAUUCAUACAUCUUUAGGGUUCUACCAACAUGUUCAUUAUGAUUUUUGUUCAAUCACUAUGUUCAUCUACGUUAGAAGCAUAAUAUUGAAAUUCUCACCAAGGCUCACAUGUAAUUUAACCCUACUAUGCAUGAAUGACUAUACAAUUAUAUGCUCAAUAAAAUGUGAAAUAGACAUAAAGGGGAAUCCGAUGAUUCCGGUGUGCACCCCCCACCUUGUGAGUAAGUAGAAGAAGAACGCAAUAAUCUCCCGAACCUUACGAACGAUGAUCCGCGUCCUACAACCCAAAAUUGUGCCAAAUUAGGCCCUUUGUAUAUGAACUACUUUCAAACAUUUUCGUAAUGUUAAACAGAGUUGUCCCACGCGUCGGGGGCACCCCCAAUUAGGUUUCUAUGGGGUCAAUUCGUCCCUGAAAAAUCCUAGGGCAAAAGCCCCAAAUUUGAGCCCUAACAAUGUCAUUUUGGCACUUCUCCUAGAUUGAUCUCAACUCUAAGCAAAUAAUAGCUUAGAAUCAUCUAGGAAACAUUCUAAUAAAGUUUCCAAGCCUUUGGAACCAUCCCUAGGGCAUCUAUGGUGAACCCUAACCAUCCACCAUGAGAGCACUUGAGCUCUCAUGGGUUUCAUGGAGUUCAAGGCUUAUAGAGGGUUCCUAAAGCUAGAAACAACUCAAAACUCCAAAACUUAGGGAUCAAAACCAAACGCUAGACUCAUUUGUACAAAUACCUCACCUUAGCCCAAAGCUCCUCCAAGUCCUUCUUGUAGGAGAGCUUGCUAGACCCACCAAAGCCACCACAAUCCACUUCUCCUUGCUUCUUCUCCUUCUUCUCCACCAAACCCUAGAGUUCUAGAGAGAGAAGAGAGAGAAAAUGAGAGAAAGGUGAGAAUGGCCUGUGGGAGAAAGAGGGCUAAGCAUAUAACAUGUUGCAACAAUAGCAACUAAACCCCUCAACUCCCAACAAUUACAUCAGCCUUUACUGGGCAAUUUUCGCAGUCGGGGACUGGUCUCCCCGACCAGGGACCGGUUCCCGAACGUUGGGUUUCCAGGACUUAGCCAAAUUUUCGGGUUUUUGGCUGGCUGCGCAGCGAGGGACCAGUCUCUCCUUCAGGGACCGGUCUCCCGAGGACCGGUCUCACUGCCAGGGACUGGUUGCCUCAGGAUUGCUGGCAGGCUACGCGUACGGGGACCGGUCUCUCCUUCAGGGACCGGUCCCCGAGAGCACAAAAUUUGGGACUUAGCCAGAUUUUGAAACUUCACUCUCUCGGGUCCCUUUACACUACAUAUAGGCUCCAAAACACUACUGGCCCAUGCCAACUUGUUCCACUCCGCAUUCCGCACACUUCGACGGAACUCGACACGUUUCACGAGGGAUGCGAUAUGUUACACGAUCGAAUGCUGAUAUGCUCAAUAGCAAACCGUCGGCAACUAGCCGACAAUCACCGCCCCUCAGGGCACACUGACCAAUAGGUCAUCGAACUGUAAGGAACACAAGUACCGACCACUCAGGUCAACUAGGAUGGAACAACUCAACAUCCUCCCAAAGAUAUGCAAGUACUGAUCAAUAGGUCAACAAAAGUAUAAACGCAAGAAUCGACCAAUAGGUCACAAGAGUGUAUCACUAUAAUUCAGAACUCGCCGUCAGCUACUAGCCGACAAUCCUAUCCCCUCGGGGUACACCGACCAUAUAGGUUAUCAAAUAGUCCAACCAACCAAGUAGGUCAUGAUAUCAAUGCAAUAAGCCGACCGAAUAGGUCACAGCUACGAGAUACGAGAACCGACCAACCAGGUCACAGAUAUCACAGAUACUCACGAAACUGCUCUACUCUAAACAUGAUACAGGAUAUGCAAAACAGCAAAGUAGAGCAACAAGGAAACAUAGUAUAGGUGCUAGGCUCAACAUAUAAUAUAUGCAUAUAGAGUAAUAACGGGAGAACAAGGGUAAGAGGAUAUCAUCGAACGUGCACCACUGUACCGACUUCAGAUCGAAGUACCCACCUGUACGUUUCUGGUACUGGUCUCUCCACUGCGGAGACGAAACAACCGGACCUACGAAGGGUCCACAGGGUUAGAAUUUAACCCACAAACACAAAACACUAACUCACAAACCCCCCAAUAAACCUAGGGGAAUUGGUUUCCCAAGACCAAUUGCCGAACUCACCGGAAGUCCCGAAAAUCGCACCGGGACUCCGUCGGGACACACGAACAGUCCCGAAACUCACAGACUCGUGCUACGAGUCACCCGCGCGCCACUAAACACUUACAUUCGUGUGGCCUGGCAGCAAAAAUACUAUCUCGCAUCGAAACGAUUAUCAUCGGAUAGUCGUUCCGAUCCGGGUUCCCGGAAGUGUCUAUUUCGACACCGGAACCCACUGUCGCUUACCCGUCAUUUUCGAACCCAUGAAACAACGCAGGUGACCAGCCAACAAGGCUUGACGACAAAACUCAGGGCAUUCUAACACCGUCGGAUGCAAUCCGAACCGAAACCGCGUUUUGCCAGCGAAUUUCGCCGGAAAACGCACCGAAAUCGAUAAUCGAUUUUCGCAAAAGGCAUCAGACCUUGGACAAUCAGUCCAGAGGUCACCCGCAGCCCAUAUGUACUGCCCACAGCAACCACGGAGUGCACAAAUGCACAAAAGCCCCUACUAUACCAUAAAAUCACAUCAUUUUAUGUGAUUUUAAUAGGUUUUCUAGCUCGACAACACAAUUCGAGAACUUUCGUGGCUGACCGAGACCCACGCUGAUAGGUCUCGAUGUACCGGAGGCCAUGCUCAUGAUUCGGAGCAUGGCCGACCACUGUGGGGAGCGCGGGAGCGACGCGAAAAUCUGCGAAUUGCGCGCAUAGCAUGAAAAACAUGCUUAUCUAGCAAACCAGGGGCUCUCUGACCCCAACGAAGGUGGCCACGAUGAUUGGCACUGAUAAAGAAUCAUCGUGCUCACCUUCGAAAGCCUCGAGAUGGCCUCGGGUCACCGGAACAGUGACCUGAACCCGAGACAGUGCACAAAAAGGCUAAACUAAAGCUCACCGGGCAAAGGGGGCCAUGGCACGACCGGCGGCGGCUCGGCAGUGGGCGCACCGGCAGCAGGCGGGUGCUGGCGACAGAGGAAGUCCGGGGCGAGCGUCGGACAGCGACGAAAGGCCGCGGCGGCGACGAGCAUUGAUGCCCUAGCCGCAGCAAACCAGUGGAGAACACGGGCUCGUUCCGGCCGGCAGGGAGCUCCGGGGGCGGGGGCUUCGGAAUAAUCCGAGUACGGCCGACCAUGGAGGGCCAACGCUCAUACCGAUCAGCGGCGAUAGGCGGCGGUGGCAGCGCGGGGCGGAACCAAGCCAGCACGGCCUCAUCCCGGGCUCAGUGGGUUCGUCCAGCCCAGGUGGCGGCCGGAGCAAACAAGGAAGGGGCGUGGCCGUCCUCUGGCACCGAGAGUAGGAGGCGGAGACGGCAGCCGGCGGCCGAGACGACGGCGCGGCACGGUUCGGUCAUACCAGUCCGAGCUGGUUCGGGGUGGCUGCAGGGAACUAGCGGCGGCAGCGGCGGCCUGCGGGGACGGCGACGAUGAUCCCUGGUCUGGCGCGGGGGCUCCAGAGGGUCGAGGGGAGUUGUGGGUGGCCGAGGUAGGGCGCGGGGGAGCCGGCGCAAGAGCUACUGCCGCGCGCGUGCCCUAGCUGCUCCCUGUGGGUCGCAGGUGCAGCGGCGGCGCACGACGGGAAUGCGGCAGUUAGAGGUAGAAUGGGCAUGGUCGGGGUGACGCCGGCAGGGGAGCGCCGAGGCAAGGUGGCCUCGGGCCACGACUCUAACCCGAGAGGAAACGGGAGGGAGGAGGUGGAGAGGAAGAGCUUGGUGGUAGCCAUGGCCGGCCGGGGCUGGUCGGCGGCUGCGCUGGCUGCGCGCAUGGAGUUGAGCAGGAGGAAAGGGUCGACGGCUAGGGUUCAGUUGAGAUUGCAAGAGGUUAGGAUUAGGGUUUCCAUGAUGAAACCCUAGAAACUAACCUAUAUAGCGACGAUUAAAUUGCACGCAACUUCCUCAAAUUGCAACGCUUUUCGCCGAGACCCUGACCAUGAGUGAAUGACACCCUCACGCCAUAACCCACCAAGUUUCAUGAAAUUCCACGCAUAAAAUAUGGGGGGUUUCGCGCGAAAUACCAAAAAAUCAAUUCGACCCUUCCUCGGUAAACGUGCAAUAUCUGGCGAUCCAUCUAUCGGAUUUGUGAACAGACUGCGCCAACGCAUUCAGCACAACCAGGCCAUCGAACUCACAAUUUUGUUUCGCCCGAAAAGGUCACCGAUUUGCGACGAAACUCAUCCACUCUCCAAUUACCAGAAUCACAUACAAAUACAUAAAUUAUAUGUAUCUCCAGUUUUCUCGAAAAUCGUGCGUCAGAUCUAAAAUCCGCCAGCGCCAAUGGUUUCAAAAUAGUCGAACCAUUGAAAACGAGCUAUUGGAGUCUUAUGAACGGAGUCCAAUACGCACCAGAAGCCAUCUCCACUGAUCGGCCUCUCCGGAAAAUCGAAGUUACUAUUCACUUUAAGUGAUUAGUAAUGCUCGCGUAACUUCUCCAUUCUAACUCAUUUUCUGCUGAAACUUGACGAGUGCUUAUGUAAUUAAAUUACACACAAUAACAUCGUCAAUAAAGAGUUAACUGUAUAGCAAAAAUCUCAGUCCUUACAGAGGGAGGGGGCUGGGAGGAGAAGGAAGAUAGAGGAGCCGUGGAGUAGGUGGGUUAGAGUUGACGUGAGGAUGAGAGAGUAAGGGAGACAUAUGAAAAAAAAAAAACAAUGGGCGUACAGGCGGUAAGGUAGAGAGGUAUAGGGAUAGGUGAACCACCACAAUGAUAGAAUGUUAUGACAAAAAAAAACACAGACGGGCCUAUAGUCCCCAUAAAUGCAAAGGGGGCUUGUUUUGCUUGCCAAAUUAUAAGUUUAUAAAUGCUAUAAUGAGAUUCUAUGUUAUUAGCUUAACUAUUUUUCCAAACUAUCUCUUAACACUAACAAACUAUUUGGUAGGCUCCAUUUUUUUUUUUCACACUUCAUGGAAAGUCGUGGGCGAUUGGCAUCUAUCCAAUUGGUAAGCACUUAAAGUCAAAAGUGAUUGACAUCUCCAAGUACUAUAUAGGGAGUCAAAAGUGAUUAGCAUCUCCCACUACAAUAUAUCGACUUGAGAGUGAUUGGCAUAUCCCGUUGUGAUACUUCCGAAGGUCACGACAUGUCUCACAUUUACACUUUAAGCUCUCAUUCUUGAAAUUAUCUUUCGAUAAGUCUCUCAUUGAAAUUUUUGUGUUAUUCUCGGAUGUAAUUAGUAUAUAAAUAGCCUACAAGGCUUUGUGAGGGAUACGAAUGAUUAUUGAAUAAAAUUUGAGUUUUUUUGCAAAAGUUUUGAGUGGAAGUUUUUUCUUCCUAGGGUGUUCCUGAUUCUGGCGAGGUUCGGAGUUAUAAUAUUUCAUUUGAGUCCCUCUUAAUUUUUGCAAAUUUUGAUUACCAACUUGUGAGGUUUGGUUGAGAUUUGAGAAAUUGGAGGGUUUCAAGUUAGAGAGAGGUGAGAGCAUUGUGUUCAAAUAAACAGGGAGAAGAAGGUUGAAGACGAGGUUUCUUUCUGUGCGCUUCCUGAGGAGAUCCUGUUUGUCUCUGUAACGCCCCAACAUCCCGGGGGUCACCCAUCCUAGGACUACUCCCGUCCUAGCACGCUUAACUCUCUUAACCUCUUGAGCGUUGCCACCACCCAAAAUGCUUAAGCCGGUUUAAGAGUUCUAGCCCUAUUAUAUCUUAUAUAUAGGACUAUUUGGAGUCUCACAAUUUCCCCCCCUUAAGCACUGACGUCCUCGUGAGGCUCAGACUGACAAGUACCAGGCGAUGUGAGACUCAUCUCGCUAGCCUUGUCAUUCCGACCCCGGCUCAGCCGAAACUCAUCUUACACUUCCGGCUGGUAAUUGGCUCUGAUACCAACUGUGACGCUCCAACUUCGCAGGGGGUCACCCAUCUUAGGACUACUCCCAUCCUAGCACGCUUAACUCUCUUAACCUCUUAGGCCUUGCCACCACCUAAAAUGCUUAAGUCGGGUUAAGAGCUCUAACCCUAUUAUAUCUUAUAUAUAGGACUAUUUGGGGUCUCAGUGUCUCCUUGCACAUGUCAACUAGCACAUAUGCAUGUGCUUUAGCCUACAACCAGUAGCCACCUAUUUGGAUAAACUCAGUUUAAAGACAACAAUAGAUUUUUUUUCUUUCUUAUCUACAUCUAAGUCUAUUGUUGGGAAUCCGAUACUCGCUCUAGUACUAGAUUUUGUGAAUCCGUAACCAGCUUCGACACCGACUAUUCUUGAUCUGGUACCAGAUGUUGAGAUUUUGCAACGGAAGUGUCGAAUUAGGUUUUUACCAUAAACCCGUCUUCUCAGCAAAAGCUGAUACAUUCAUAAAAGAGAGAAAACAAUCAAACAGAAAAUAUGCAGGUAAAAUAAGAUUCAUUAAAUAAGAAAAUAUUACACCUGACUUAUCUUCUGCAAGAGAGUAGCUACAACUAGAGCCUUCUUUUUAAAUCUCUCGUACCCUUCUCUCGUCUUCUAUAAACCUACAAUAAGACAACUCUCUCUUUUUCUCUCUCACAUGCACUCGUGCACUAGGUGAAUACAAUUGGGCCUAGGCUUCCCUACGGUACGAUCACCACCAUAAAAAAAAACUCUCUUAUUCGUACACCAACUAGGCACACUCACCAAUUGGCAUACAUGGAGUUAUAUAUAAGGCUUCACCCAAGAUGUAUCCAAAUCCUAGGAUAAUUAGGAUUCCUACUCCAAAUAAUAUUUAAAUCUAUAAUUAGUUUAUCUCUAAUAGAUUUAAAUAUUUAUCCUAAUCUAGUUAGAUUUAUACUCUAAUUAAUAUUUAAAUUUAAAUUUAUCUCCGAAAGAUUUAAAUAUUAAUUCUUAUCCAACUAAAAAAUCAACUACAAAUCUUGCCAAACCCUAACAUCUAUGCAUACCAUCUAUUGGUAAUGAAAAGCUUGGUUUAUAGAAUAGUUUAAUUAAUUUCUAUUUUCUUUCCUCGAAAAAUUCAUAGCCUUAUUUUUAUUUUCCUAAAAUUUCAAAAAAUUAUUUAGUCCAUUUUUUUCUCAUAAGGUACUUGAUUACGAUCGUUGUGCGAAACUCAAUAACACAGACAUCUACAAGCAUAUAGAAGAUUGUUGCAGAUAGAUCAUGAGUUGAUCCGGACUAAUCGUAAUAGCUUAAUUGCGUGCUCGUUGGACGUUGUAUAUUACAAUUUCUUGUCUGGUCAAAUUUCCUUAUUUUACUAUUUUUUUUAGUUGAACGUACGUUCUUUUUACUAAAAAUCAUAAAAAAAAAAUUGCUUGUUUAAUUUUAUUUUGCAAAAUAUUUUGCCUGCCACAUCUAAAGAAUAACCACUUGUAAGAUAAGUUUGCCAUCUUGAGUGUUGCAUUGGUGGAUAAAAUAUAGGAUUAUAAUUUGUCCUGCAUCAAUUACACAAUAAAUGAAAGAAAUAAUAUAUUAAAAUUUUAAAAUUUUAAUAGGAUAUAUUAAUAGGACAAUAGUAGUGAAUGAAAUAUCUAUUUCUAUAAUAAAAAUGUAAAUAAGACAAGUGUAGCUACUGUGCCUCAAGUAUGAAUAAUGUCAUAAUGAGAUUCUAUGUCAUUAGCUUAUCUAUUUCUCUCAAACUAUCUCUUAACACCAACCAACCAUUUGAUAGGCUCUAUUUUUCUUGCACUACACACUUCAUGGAGAGUCGAGGGCAAUUUGCAUCCCUUCAAUCGGCAAGCACUCAGAGUAGAAAGUGAUCAGCAUCUGUGGCACUCCAAAAGUCCUAUAUCGGAUGGGAAUGAGAUUAUGAUUAGGUAUAUAUGAGACCAUGUAUACCAUUAAUAAUAACUGGGUUUAAGGAUUUGGGACUGGUGGUUUGGGGUCAACGAGUUAUUAUUGCUAGUGGGCCAGAUCGUUACAUUUGGUAUCAGCGCCAAUCACUGGCCGAAAGUGUGUGACGAGUCUCGGCUGAGUUAGAGUCUGAAUGACAAUAUAACAGGCUAUGCCAGGGUUUGAAUAAUAAAGUAACGGACUAUAUCAAAUAGGGUCUGGAUGACAAGCACUACAAAAAAUCUUGCAUUUAAGGACACUUUAAACAAUAAUUAGUGACGCUGUAAAGCGUCGGCAAAAAUAAUCUCGACGUUUGUAAAAGCGUCGAGUAAAGAGUCGUUAACUAAACAUGUCGGGAUAAAUAUACCGACGUUUUAAUAUAGCGUCGGAAAUUUUUUAUAAAUAUUUGAUAAAAAUAUGUUUAUUGGCGACGCUUAAUUAUAGUGUCGGCAAAUAUCAAAUAUAAAAGACGCUAGAAUAAAGCAUCGUUUAAAAAGCGUCGUCUAAAACAUAUUUUAUUGUAGUGAAGGCCAGGGAGACAAAUCUCACAUCGCCUGGUGAUCUUAGGCUGUGUAUGUGAUAGGGUUGACGAGGACGUCAGGGCUUAUAUGUGGGUGGUUUGAGCCCAACGAGUCAUUGUUGUCAGUGAGCCGGAUUGUUAUAGCAUCUCCAAGUACUAUAUAGGG